UUUUUUUUCAGGUUGCAUGAAGGUAUUACCCGUCUUUUGGUUUCAUUUAUUUUCUAUGUUUCCAUAACUUUUGUUUGAUUUUGUUAUGCUCUAGGGCAUCUCUAAGAGAGACCUGUAAAACACCGGUACAUGUUCGGUCGAACACAUUUGUUUACUUUUGUAAUCCAACGGGAUUUAUAUCAAUCCAUAAAGCUGUCCAGACGUCCAAAUUUUGGUAUUUUGGAGACAAAUAUGGGGGAGCUUUGCCGGAGUCCGGACAUGCAAUUGACCAAUCACAUGCAUGGUCGCUCUCUUCUCUCUCUCCUCCCAUCCGCACAUGCAUGGCCCUCCUCUUUUCUCUUCUCACAAGCCACAGAUAUUCCACCACAUGCAUGGUCUCCACCUACUUUUUCUCCUCACAAUUGAAUAUUUUGCAAUUAAUGUUGGAUUGCUCUUUCCCGUAUCAUGUCCGUAGAUCACGUUUGGACAUAAAAACCGGACAUAUACCGGAUAAAUUUAUAGGUCGGCAUUGGUGAUGCCCUUAUUCCUUUCAUGUUUGUCUUUUUUUUUCUCUUUUUAGUUUUUUAUUUCAUUAUUCACAUGUUAAAUCAUGAAUAUUCAUUAAUAGUUGUAAACAUUUUUAAAAACUAUGGACAUUUUUUAGAAUCCAUGAACCAUUUUAAAAUUCAUGAAUAUUUAAAGUUCACAAAUAUUUUUAAGCAUGCGAAUUUUUUUAAUUUGUGAUCUUUUUUGAAUUUGUGAGCAUUGUUUCAAAUUCAAGAUUUUUUAAAUUUUGUGAUUUUUUUCUGAACCUUUUUGUUUUUUUAAUCCGCAACAUUUUGUAAUCUAAGAUUUUUUUUAGAAUACAUGAAUUUCUUUGAUUAAAUGAACUUCUUCAAAUAAAAUAUGACAUCUGUUUCUUUUCUAGGCUAGAAGUGGAGCGAUUGAAAAAAAAGCUAAAUGAUCGGAGCAGGGAGCCAAGCUGAGCAAGUGAGAGAUUCAUCUGCUGGUUCAUGUUAGUGUUACAACAACAAUUUGAUGGUUUCAACCUGGAAUAAGAACUCCCAAGGGCCUCACACAACCACCGGCUAACACCGACGUCAAAGCGUGUAAGGGCUCCACAGCCAUGCAUGUAACAACUCUGUUCUCUUCUCAGAACAAAUAUCUUCUCCAAUAUUAGGCCAACACGAAUAUACAAAUGAAAAAGCACCGCCAGGACAUAAUUAAAAGCCAAGCCAACGUAAAAUAAAACCAAAGAAAAAACGACCGUAAUAACCUAUUAGAGGAAAAAAAGUUUAAUCCCACAAGUGAAGAACUACGCAGCGAAGUGCUCGUUAGCCUCUAGUUACUUCUAUUCGAAACAAGAUACUUCACACAACUUGACUGAUAGUCCAAGAGUAACUUUGAAGAUUGUGUUAAUAUCUACUUAAGCAAAUUUGCAUUACUUUUUUUUUGCGGGGAGCAAGUUUGCAUUACUGCCUUUUCUUUGUUCAUAUAUAGAAAAUUCUCUUUUGUUUCGUCUAAACAACACAACAUACAAUAAACUUGAAAUUGCAUAUCAGCAACAUAUUUGCAUCACUGCCUUUUCUUCGUUCUCUUUAUGUAUUGCUUUUAUAGCUUGCAAAGACACUAGUUGCGUUAAUGAAAUUGGAGAGACAACUCUCUUUUUAAAAAGAAAAAAAACACAUUUGUACUACAAUAUGUUGAUUUGUUUUUUGUGCACCAUAAAUACUUAACAGAGCUUAUUCUAUGAAGCGAAGAUAGUAAGCUAGCACUGAUCUCAACAAAACUAAAAGCCGGAUGGAGGGUGCAUAUGCAUGGGUGUUCAGAUAAAUCCCCUAUCAAGUCGAGAUUAUACUAGGUAGUAGUUGUACGGGUUCAUCAGUUCAGUUUCCAAUUGAACACGCUCACAACUAGUGCUCCUACUCAAGUAUACUCAUUUCGAAAAGUGAGAAAACUUUCUAGCUCUCAUUAACAGCCAGGUGUGAAGGAACUUUUGCUCGACCAAGGUGGUCUUUAGGGCGCUAAUCCCAGCAUUAGUAAUGCGUAAUCACAGCCUGUUGAUUGUUGGAACACGAACUACGGUGCAUGUUCUCACCAUUGAUGACAGUACAAAAGAAAGAAGACGAGUAGCACAUCAUCGUUAGCUGUGUCGUAGAACUUUUGGGAGACAACAUCCUCACCAACAACUUUAUAGUAACCGGGCGCUGCACCCCCAUGCAUUGUUCCUUCCCCCAUUGUACUACACGACCCUCUAGCUAGAUCUCCGGCCUCUUCUCUUCUAUUUCUUCUCGUCGUCACACCUACUGGUGCAUAUUGCAAUGCCGGGGUUAAGCUCUCCUCUGGCCCCCAUGAGGCUCGCUGCAACUUCCAGUGUUCUUGUCACCCUCUUCUUCAUUGCUCUCUUCCUUGGCUCAUGCGAGGCUCGACGCCUUCUUGUCCAUGGCGCCACGGGCAGUUCAAGCGAGUCACCUCCUGCGCCGCGCAAGGUACGUUGGUAGCUUUACCUAGCCAUGCAUUGAAGCAACUUAAUUUCCUUGUAUCUAAAAGAGUGUCUUUAUCGAUCUCAUUGGUUGUUCUACUUGAGUUGUACUAACUCACAGUCCUUAAACUUGAAGGCUGAUGGUUCUCCGAUAAACCAGCCGAACGAUCUAUCAACUGCGGACGCUAAGGAUGCUUGCGUUGAUCAUUUCGACGCCAAGGUGAAGGAGGGAGUGGCGGUACCAUCAGGCGCAGCUCGGAUGGCGGUUAUCGGUAGGGUUUCACGGCGGCUUUCUCAUAGGAAUUUGCAAGUGGUGGGCACAGCGUUUCAUCUAGAUUAUGCUGGGCCUGAGACCCAUCCCCCCACUCACAACUGAUGCAUGAGUUUGGGAUGUUUGCUCUCUAUGUAUAUGAGUACGUAGUGUUCGAUCGAGCCCUAUUUCUGUGUCUGCAACCGAUCUUUCUAGCUUCAGCCUACUCGGCUACUGCCGGAGUGAGUACACUAGCAAGCUAGCUAGAAUAUUUUCUUGUUGAAAGAGUGUAACAGAUCACACAGUAUACAUAUGCUUUGUUGUGUUGAGAGUUCUGGCUAAUAUAGUUUUUCUGUGCACCCUGCCACCAUUAUUCCCUAUCUCUGGCAGUCAACUUCGCCGUUACCUCCUAACAACAGCUCACCGCGUCUUCCCCUGCCAUGUCACCCGCUCACACUCUCUAGUCUGUACUCAACAUGCGCCCGCUGCUGUCAAUAGCACUGCCAACCCGCGCCACCCUACUUGAACUGCCACCACUGUUGGCCGUCACCGCCCCUAGCAAUCUCUCUAGCUAGGAUUGAGAGAGCAUUGGUGAACCUUCCAAACCUAGCCCUAAUUUGACUAUUUUGUCACCUCAUCGUGCUCCGAGUACUCCAUCUUCACGGCCGGGGGAAAAACAGUAGGGAGGAGCAACGAGAAGAAGGCAGUUAACAGUGAGGUGGCGAUAGGGACGAAGAUAAAAAUUGUACAAAAAAAUCGCCUAUCAGAAAUGAAUUUUUGAUCCAUUAUAAAUUAGCAUAUGUGUAUAGUAACAUCAUGAUCACUGACAACUCGCUCCAUUCUCAAUUGUAAUGCGUGUGCCUAAGAAUCUCCUAAAACAAAACGAAAAGGGCGUAUAAUACAUUGGGAAUGGAGAAGUACUGCUACUUAUAGAUAUAGGACAGGAAAAAUAUCUCAAACAUCAGGCAAACGAAGAAAAAGGUAAAACACUCCAUUUUGGAAAAAAAAAAGCAAAGAAAGAAAAAACACCAACAAGUUUCACAUGCAUGACUUAUUAUUUGAAAUGGAGUGAGUUAAAAUUAAUAACUGGACAGCGAAGGACUAUGGAUGCCUGUCCCUUGACUUAUCUUAAUCCAUGUCUGUCAUGAUACUUGAGAUGUAAAUUCUUCAGCAAGUUGGAUAUGUUUGAGCAGCAGUAAUACCCCUGUCUGUAUGCAACGCAAACCUCUGCAAAAGAUCUUGGGUCAUUGAUCCUGACAAUCCAGGACAGAAACUUGCUUCAAGCAAGACAGCAGUGCAUCGCACGCCGAACAGCAUGUUCCAUGCUGUAGCGCUUCCGACCACGCGUUCCGUCAGUCCCGCUGCGUCCGUGCAGCAGGAAUAAAAUAGUCCCGCUUCAAAUCUCUCGAGAAAACUUACACGAGCAAGCAGUCUCGGUCAAUUCCCUGAGCACCGUUGACCUUAGAGGAUCGGAGAAGUGAACUUCGAUCGGUAACCGUGUGUCUAAAGAAAGUUGCAAGCCCGAUCGAGGAGCGCAAACCAUGUGCGCAGGGACUUGGGGGCACAAACUGAAAAAAGUAAUGCAUGUCCUGAUGUCUGAUUGUGAAAAAUAUCUCAAUCUUCCCAAGAAUGUCCCCCUCCUCCUCUCAUGUAGCCCGAAAUGUUUAACCAGCAUGCGACUAGACAAAUUAAAAUAGUGCGAAUAUCAUAGCAGGACAAACUGGGACGCACAGCCCUGCUCCAGAAAAGACAGACAUGCCAACCUCGUAUCCAUGCAAAUAACAAACUGAUGUAAAUUUUUUUGGCAAAAGGUGCACCUUCCUCAUCCCAGGCGGCACCUAGGUCUGGGUUCCACCUACAAGUAUAGUGUAAAACCACCAUAACUGAAGAUAGGGUUUUGGAAAACCAUCACAUUUCCAUUUCAUCACCAAUACCAUCCACAUUAUGCUAAAAAAAAGGAGCUCUCGCUCUCGCUCUCGCAUGCCUCUCGCUCUCGCGACGCUGCACCUCCUCCUCGCCAUAGCCGCCACUGCCACAGAUCUAGGCCCGCGGCAUGCCUCCACGCCAGCGAGGGGUGCUAGCGCUGGCUGCACCCAUGCCUCCCCCACCCCAGCAGCUUGUGCCCGCCAUACGCGAGAGAUUCCCAGAGAUCCUGCGGCUGAUCUCUCCAGUCCCACAGGCGGUGCUCAUGGCGACCAGGGCCAGGGGGUGGACGGAGCGCGCGACCAGGACCCGGGACGCCACCUUCGAGUGGAUUCGGUGCGUGCAUGAGUGGAAGGCGGCGGACCGGGCGGUUGCGGCGGCAACCGAGCCGGAGGCGAGAUCUGCGGCCACGAAGGUCGCUGAGAUUCACCGAAGGAGGGCGGAUGUGGAGCAGAGGAAGCUGGCGCGGCGAAUCUACGAGGAGGCCACGCUGGAGGAGAGGGCAAGGAUGCCCCCGUUACCGUCCUCCCCGCCGGCCGAAUUCGUGGUUUGGGCGAGGGCGGAAGCAAAAUCGGAAGAGCCACGGCGGGUACUCAACUGGGAAUGCAUCCUUGGCGUGAUUCCACCGAGCGCAUGAGGAGUGUUGCGGGUGAGGCGACAUACCCACUGCCUCGCCGCGACAUGCUUGAGCCACCGUGGUUUGGAGACCGCGGUGAGGUUCCACCGGGCGCUCGUUCGAGGUUUCUUGAGGGGAUUUGUAUCCCAAGGAAUCAGAUUUGUCUUAUGAUCUCGUAGUCGCCGAUGGUGUUGAAACCAGUGGAAAUUAGGCAGAGCUUGUGCUCGGAGAAUCGGGAUUCGCCGUCGGCGGCGAGGUCCAAAUCGCCGGAGUUGGGGGGUUUUUCUCCUGUGAUGCGAGUGGGGUCACCCAGGCGGAUUGGCGUGGGCCCCGUUGCCACGUCGCUCCCACCAAUCAGGUGCGAGAGGGUGAAAACGCCUUUGGCGAAUACGCCUCCUGCUCACGAUGGCGCGGAUGAGACUAUUUCUAGGGUUUUUGGACAGCUCUGGUCCAUUCCAUCCCCCCACUGUCGCCAGCCCCGUCCUCUUCCACCAAGCAAAACCACCACCACUCUAGGAUGGCUCCGGAAAGAUCUGGCUCACUCCGGGUGUUUUUCUCCGUUUGAUUUAUUCCCAGACAAGCAUCUCCACCCGUUUGAUCCUCCUCCUACACAACUCAAGAUCAUCAGGGAGGGAAUUGGGGACGGAUCCAAGUCCUUUGCUCAGGCUGUCAUGGCGGACAAGAGUGCACCGACUGGGGGGCUGAAACAGCGGGCACCGGCUCUGCAGAAGAACCCGGAUUGUCGUCAAGCCGCCGGGGGGGGGGGCAUGAACUGCUACCGCGCCCGGCAAAGGUGCUGCCCCCUUGCUCAAGCAGUCAUGGCAGCGCCCCCGCUGCCGGUCCCGCCUACCCCACCGGUGCAAGGAUAUGGUCUGCUUUACCUGUCGAGGCCCUGGUCACUACGUUGGUAAUUGCAUUCAGAAGGAAAACUGCUUCAUCUGUGGAUUGGAGGGGCACAAUGUCAACAAUUGCGCGGCUUGGGCGCAACCUCAUCCAGUUGCCACGUUCUUUGGUAGUUCUGCUUUGGGACUGGGAUUCUAUCACAUUGACGCUCUUGUGGGUCGUGAAGAAAAUUGGCUUAAUUUUAGAAACUGUGGAGAAGUGUGGGUCAUGAAAGGAGAAAUCAACAAGUCUGACCUGGUUAAGAAUCUGUCUGGUAUAUUCUGCAAAAACAAACAAUGGACAUGCCAGAUCAGGCCAUUGAUAGAACAAAAGUUCCUGGUCAGAUUCCCACCCUGGAAAGAUGUGGAAGAGUUGAUUGAGUUUCCUGCCUUCGACUUGCCUAUUGAUGGACUAUCUGUGCCAGUUGAGAAAAGGACCGGUGCAAUUGACCCAUUCAGCGAGCUUACUAAAGCCUGGGUUAUUAUUGAGGGGCUUUCAUCUAAAUGGUGCACAUGGAAGGUCCUAUCAUAGAUUGCAUCUUGCUUUGGAAUCCUUGUGGAUGUGGAUUGGAAUGGCCUAAUGAAGAGUUUUUAUGAGAAAGUAAGAGUCAAGAUUGCUUGCUGGGACCCAGCUAAGAUCCCCUUUGAACGGGUCAUGGAGAUGAGGAAAAAACUUUAUAUUUGUCCUUUACAGUGGAAGGUUUUGAUCAGAUAGGGGCUGAUGAUCCUAAUGAUGACAAUGGGCCUACUGACAUAUCUGUGGACGAUGAUAACAAAGCAAUUGAAGAUGAGGAGCUGGUCAAGGACAUCCUAGAUCAUGCAGAGGAACCCAUUGACGAUCUGGACCUGGCCAACAAGGCUUCCAACUCGAAAACCCUAGCUGGGAAAAAAAGCAAAUGAUGAUGGUGUUGCCUUCCAUCCCGAUGCUCUGUUAGAGGCAUGCAUCUCUCCUGUGAGAGCUGACAAGAAGACUAAAGGAAAAACCAAGACACAGAGCAUGUGCUCUUCUAUACCCUUCUCUGAGGCGAUCAGGAUCCUUAGCACUCCCAGCAACAAAACUUGUGAUGUCAAUGCACUCGCUACAUCAUCGAAUGGGGUUGCUGCUGUCAUUUCCCCAGUGUCCACUCAAAAAGCCUACUGCUCAGACCUGCUGGAAGAGCUGGAAGAUUCUGCAUCUGAUACUGCUAGUGAAGCUACUGAAUUAGAGGAGGAAAUGGAUACAUUUGAAGCCCCGAUAGUCAGUGGUCUGAAGAUGAUGGGACUAAUGGAGAAAAUGGUUCUGCCCAAUGAAAAGCCAACAACCAAGAACAAGUGGGGCCCAGUUAUUGCUCCAAGACUAAGUUCCAGGGUGCACAGCAGACAGAACAUCAUGGAGAAAGCUGCUGCGUACAAAAUGAAGCAAAAUCUGGAAAUCCCCUCUACCUUUAAAAGUAAGUCUUUUACGACCGAGUCUGCAUCUAUUUUAGAGGCUUAUGCUUCUGUAGUUAACAUCAAGAUUGGUGAUAAUGGAAAAGAGAAAAACCAAAUUAUUAAUGAUAUCAUUAGAUAUGAGACUGGAAAAUGCCUUUUAUUUGCUUCUCAAAACCCUGAGAUAUCUCUGCCUGACAAUCUAGAUACUGAAAUUAAUGUAGAUAUUGGAGUUUAUACUCCAAAAAAUGACAUUCCUUGCACCAACACACCAGGGGGCACUGUUGGUGUUGUAGGUGGCUCUGGGAAUGCUGUGAGAGGUGGAAUUUUUAGUCUGACACAUCCCUUUAAAAUCCCAUGAUUGGUAUCUUUUGGAAUAUUAGAGGUCUAGGCCAAAAAGGGAAAUUGCAGUGCCUGUCUGAUUUAGUGAACAAGUAUAAGCCUGAUUUUUUAGGUUUUCAAGAAAUUAAGAGAGAAACUUUGUCUGACUCUUUCCUCAAUAUCCUAGCUGGUUCUACUUCUUAUGAGUGGCACAUACUACCUGAAGUAGGCUCUGCUGGGGGUAUCCUUGUGGGUACCAAAUCCAACCUUUUUGAGGUUCUUGAUGUUAGUAUAAAGAAUUAUUGCAUUAUUAUAUCAUUAAAAAAUAAGACUGAUGGCUUCUGCUGGCAUUUGAUUGUGGUAUAUGGGACAGCUUAUGCUGUAGACAAACUUGACUUUAUUGCUGAAUUGCAUGAAAGUAUGGAAGGCUUAUGCUAUCAUGUGUUCUGUUUGGGGGAACUUCAACCUGAUUAGGGAGGCUAAGGAGAAAACCUCUGGCAAUAUUAAUACCUCAUGGGCAUUCUUGUUCAAUGAUUGGAUAAACAAAUGGGGCUUAAUGGAAUAUAAGCUAUCAAACAGGGUUUUUACCUGGAGUAACAAUCAGGACAACCCCAUCUUUGCCACUAUUGAUAGAGUUUUCUCUGCCACUAGUUGGUACAGUCACUUCCCUCUCACCACAUUGUGUGCACUGCCUAGAGUGGGAAGUGAUCAUACCCCAAUUUUACUUGACUCUGGGGUGGGUAUGUGUAAUCCAACCAGACCAUUCAAAUUUGAGAAGUGGUGGCUAGAGCAAUCGGAUUUUCAAGCCUUAGUAGAAAAAAAUCUGGGCCACACCUUCACCAUUUACAAAUGCUAUUGGGACCUAGAAAUUUAAAACCAAAUUAUUUAGGAAACUUGUUAAGGGAUGGAGUAUAAACCUUGAAGCUGCCAUGAAGAAAAAAAAGAAGGAUUUACUUUAGGAAUUCGAUAUCCUGGAUGUCUUUUCUAAGCAAAACAGAACUAAUGUUGGGGAUAUCCUCAGGAUGAAACAAAUUAGGGAGGAGCUUGGUGAGAUUUGGAAAAAAGAAGAAACUGCCAUGUGGCAGAGAUCUGGAGAUAGGAAAAUCAAAGAGGGGGAUAGAACACAACAUAUUUUCAUGCUGUUGCCAACCAACGAAGGAGGAAAAACCAACUGUCUAUCUUGGAGGGUCCAGAUGGACAUGUAUACACCACUAAAGACAUGCUAUAAGUUGCUACUAACUUUUAUAAAAACCUCUUUGGAUAUGAACCCAGACCCAAUAUUCAUCUAGAUGACCAGUUUUGGUCUAAGGAAGAGCUUGUGACAGAAGCAGAAAAUGCCCUCUUGAGAGGCCUCUUUCGGAAGAGGAAAUUAAAGAAGCUGUUAUGAGAUCCUAUGCUAAUGGGGCCCCUGGCCCUGAUGGCCUCUCAUUUUUUUUCUAUCAACACUUUUGGGAGGUUAUCAAAGGAGAUUUCAUGGCUUUGGUGAGGGAUUUUGAAAAUGGGUCUUUGGAUAUCCGGAGAUUAAAUUACUCUAUUGUCACUCUUAUUCCUAAAGAGCCAGAUGCAAAAAAUAUGAAGAAGUUCAGGCCCAUUUGUUUGAGCAACUGCUCUGUAAAAAUCUUUAGUAAGGCUAUGACAAAUAGGGUUUCCCCUGUGGGUCAUAGGCUUCUAUCACCAUGUCAAUCUGCUUUUGUGAGAGGUAGGUUUAUUUUAGAGAGUGUGGUUACUGCCCAUGAGGCUAUACAUGAAGUUCAUAAAUCGAGAGAGCCUGGGAUUGUGCUCAAGUUAGAUUAUGAGAAAGCCUACGAUCAUGUGAACUGGGAUUUCCUAGUAGAGAUGUUAACUUCUAGGGGUUUUGGAGCUAAGUGGAUUCGGUGGAACCUCACCAUUUUGCAACAAAGCUCUUUCUGUGUCAAGAUUAAUGAUGUUCUAGGCCCUUACUUUGUAGGGGGUAAAGGGCUCAAACAAGGAGACCCGAGCUCCCCAAUGCUUUUCAAUUUGGUAGCUGGUGUGUUCUCUCGUAUGCUGGUGAAAGUUGUUAACAAUAACAUCAUCUCUGGGAUUGUUCCUCAUAUCAUCCCACAGGGGCUGAUAUGUCCACAGUAUGCUGAUGACACAAUCCUUUUCCUAAAUCCUAAACCUGAAUAUGUUAAGAAUUUAAAAUGGCUACUAGCAUGCUUUGAAAACCUUUCUGGUUUGAAGAUUAACUAUGACAAGUGUGAGGUAGUUCCAAUAAAUAUGAAUGAAGAUGAUGCUAAGUUGUUAUCCCAAUUUUUUUUGCUGUAAAUUGGGGGAUUUCCCCCUUAAAUAUUUGGGGGUUCCACUACACUACCUCAAGCUGAGGAGGGAAGACAUUCAGUAUAUCAUAGACAAAAUUAUUAAGGGAAUUUGUGGUUGGAAAGGGAGAUUACUUAGCUAUGAGGCAAAAUUAGUUCUUCUGAAAGCCUGCAUUGCUAGUAUACCUAUGUAUCUGAUAAUUUCCUAAAUGGGAAAUUAAAGCCAUCACUUCUCAGAUGUCACAUUUCUUCUGGGGGAACCUGGGGGAUGAGCAUAAAUACCAUCUUGCUAACUAUGGUCUAAUUUCACGGAAAAAGGAUUUUGGUGGUUUGGGGGUACCCAAUUUAAGAGAAUUUAUCAUGGCUUUGCUAGCCUCUUGGGCUAAAAGAUACUUCAUGUACAGUGAUAAGAACUGGGUAAGACUGAUAGAGCAUAAGUAUAGAACCAACAACCCCAAUUUGUUGUGGUCCAAACAGGGGGUGGGAUCUCCUUUUUGGAAAGGAGUUACUUGGGAUUUUGAAGGUAUAAGACCUUUUUUUAGAUGGAACUUGGGCAAUGGCAAUAAGGUUAGCUUCUGGAAUGACACCUGGGUGGGGGAUUCUUCCCUGAAAACUCAAUUCUGGGAAGUUUAUGAAAUUUGUCAACAACAACAUUGCGUAGUUUCAUAGGUGUGGGAUGGUUUCAAUUUAAAACUUACCUUCAAUAGAUGUGUGGGGGCUGAGUUUAUGGAGAGUUGGCAUGACCUGAUCCGGGUCAUUUCUACCAAAAACCCGACUAAUGAGGAGGACCAACCUGUUUGGUUGUUAGAAUCAUGAGGGGUCUACUCGGUCAAGUCUUUUUACACCAUGAUUAACUGGGGUGGGGUUUCUACCCCUAUCUGGGAUUUUUUUGGAAGAUUGUUGUGCCUCACAGAUACCUAGUCUUUUUGUGGCUAGCUUUUAAGAACAAAAUUCUUACCAGAGAUAACUUAAAUAAAAGGAGGGUGGUAGAGAACCUAAAAUGUUUAUAUUGUGAUGAGGAAGAAUCAGUUUUCCACAUGUUCUUUGAAUGUGUAGUUGCUAGACAGAUUUGGAGUGAUGUGGCUGACUCUUUUGAGUUUAAUAUCCCUAAUAUAUGACUGAGUUAUCCUCCUUUUGGAGUAUGAAUAAUAAGAAAACUGUUGUCAAUAUUGCUUGUGUUGCUACCAUUUGGGGCAUUUGGACUAUGCGUAACGACAUAUGUUUUCAGGGCAUACCAUGGACAAGCACCUGUGCGAUCUUGGCAAGGAUCAGCACAUCGUUACAUCAAUGGAAGAUCCUCUACGGGGGCGAUCAAUCGGUGCUACUGAUAAGAUGCCUUCAACUUCUGGAUCGGUAAAGAGGCGAGUUGCUUAGGAUUUCCUGGGCUGGGGACUGAGAGCGUGCGCGAAGAAGACCCGGGGCGGAGCACUGAAGGCUCAUUCGGGGUGAAUGCACACAAGAUCUGUCGAUCUUUCUCUGUGAUUGUUCUAGCGUGGCUCGGGUGAUGACUAUGUUUCUUGCCUUGUAUGGUAGUAGACGCUUUUUCCCUUCGGUAGUUUUGAUAUAGGUUGGUGUGCGAGCAUUUAGGCCGUAGCUUUACUUUUCAUUUUCUCUGGUCUGCUACUUCGGGUAGACCCGAUUCCUUGUAACAGUUUGGAUGACAUGCGUUGUUCCGUUUUUAAUAAAAUGGGGCGGGGGGAAACCCCUUUUGAUCAAAAAAACAUUAUGCUAAAAAUCGCAAAAACCACCAGUAGCACACUUGGCUAAAUUUAAAAACAUUUCUGACGUUGCGACCACAUCUAGGCACUGUCGUGACAUGAAAUGUCAACUCAGCUUGUUCGACCGUUAAGUUGGACAUGGAGCCCACAUGUCAACAUCAACAUUCCUCUCUCAUACCCCCUCCCCCUCUCGUGUGUCAUUUUCUUGGACACUUUGCUCAUAUGACAUCCGCAAGAUGUCCAGCCCGCCGUGGAGCUUGUACCUCCUCGCCAAUGGAUGAAGCAUGACAUCUUCGCCCCUCGCUUGGUACCUGAUGGUACCCUGACAGUUCAUCAGCCUCAGCAUAUCAUCGCCCGACGAGACCUAACCCAGCCGUGGUAGCGACUGCGCCACGACGUCCUCAGGCAGCUACCACACCCACAUGCGUCAAAACAUGCCCACCGCUGUGUGGCACAACUCACCUACAAGACUAUUUACUCUGACGCACACUCUAGGAACCCCACAGCAGCGGUCACAACUCCCCGCGCAGUAAUCACGAGCGCGGGGUGGAGGUUGAAUCAUGCAAGGCACCGGUGUAGGUCGACCACCAUGCAGGUGGUUCUUCUCCUUUGUGGUAUCUCGUUUCCCUAGGUAGGCCACAAUGUACGACGACAGAGGCAAAGGAGGGUUGAUCUGCACUUUCUCGUCACCAUUGCAAGCAACCUUUUUUAUGAACAAAGACUGGAUUUUAUUAACUCAAAAUGAAAGCAUCAAGAGGAUACAAACGCAACGAGGACACACCCGACCUAUGCAUAACUAGGAUGCACAUAACCAACAGCAACGCACACACAAAGAAUCCCAUCGGCAAAUCACAAAGUCAUGCAGGACCAGCUAUGCCUUGGCGAAUUAAAAAUAAAAUCAAACUCCAAAGUGAUAAAAACUAUGAUCAACAACUACCUACAUCAAGGACCAUAUCCGCACCAACUAUCUAUUGACAUCACAAGUACGACGAGAAAGCUUCUCCAACAACAAUGGCUUCAGAAAGGGGACUACGCUCAAGCCUGGUUAAAGGAUUUGAUCCUGAAGAUCAAGUUAAAGUAUUUCCUUUUAACAAGGUGACGACACAAAAACACCAUCGUUGCAAGAUAUAGCCAAUUAGGGUUAUACCUCGGGUCAGCCCAGGGCUCAAGAAAGUUACUUGAGAAGUACCACCAAGUAGAAGUCAUCAUGUGUUAUUGCCACCACUUUCCUCGAUCCCAACAGCUAUAUGUGUAGCACGGUUUUGACGUGAGAUGCCACACAAAUGAAGACCAUACUCGCACAAGGUCCCUCCUGCCGCGACAAUUAGCUAGAGGCAUAGGACUAUGAUGUCACCUGAGGCCCGGUCAGAGAAUCUCCAUAUUAUGACACAACUGGAUGAUGCUGCCGCCCAUGUACCUCUCGAUGGGAUCGUGGCCAGUGACGUCUGAGCCCACUAUCCCAACCAGAUGAUCCAAUGCCGCCGCUGCACAACCAUGCUUUCUGCCUCAUGUGGCACACAACCUUUCUUUGGAUUCCUCGGGCAUGACGCAUACAUGAGUUCGCAUCGAGAUCAUGCCUCCUCAACACCUCCCCAAGGACGAUCCGGUACUACACCAGGGUUCACCACCUCCACGAGGAAUCGUGCGAGGCCCGCUUCAUCGUCCCGACUAGCACCUCGAGCCUCCUCCACGUCUUCCUCUCUAGCGACGAGAUCAUGUCAUCUGACUGUGACAUACUCUACCUCCAUGGGCCGAGCCCAAUGUGCGCGACCAGCAGCACAACGCGAUCGCUAGGAGCACAUGUGGGGGACGCCAAUGACGAGAGGCUGUGGCAGCGUCCACCGGAGUCGAGGAAGACGAUGUGAUUCUUCAGUAAUGGAGGCAGUGAGUGCGCCGUGAUAUACAUGGCUGAGAGUGACACACUGUUGAGCUUACUUGUGGAAUGCUCCCCUUUGUGUUGAUGGUGCAACAUGCUGGUCGCGUUAGCUAAUCUACAGGUGUCCAACUCGCUUGAAUCGAAGAGAUAAUGGGGACACAUGCUUUUUUUGUGGAGGAAGAGGGAGGGGCGCCGAUAUGGGAGGAGUAUGGAUCCUCAUGAUAUUUGUGGGGGAAGAGGUAGGAUGCGAUGGAGAGAGAUGGGGGGAGCCGCUCCUCACUAUUCGGUGUUGAUUCUGCGCGGCCAUGGGCGCCGGACAACGAGGUUGAGUCGUGCUACAUCCCAAAUGUAUCUAUAAUUUUUAUAUGUCGCAUGCCAUUGUAUUACCAUUGUUACAUACCUUAGGCAUAAUUUUUAUGAUUUUUAUUAUACUAAACUAUUAAUUAAGUGUCCAGUGCGAAUGCAAGUUCAUGUUUUAUGGUGUUUUUAUAUUUCAAGGAAACUAAUUAUUUUAACCCCAGGAAAAAAUAUAGAAAACUUGGAUUGUGGAAUUUUGCCCCAGAAGACACUGAGGGGCUCUAGGCACCACAUCUGGAAAAGCCUAGGGUGCAUAGGAGCCCCAUGUAGGCGCCCAAAAUGCCAGGGCGCCAAGGCAUUCUAGGAACCUUCUAGAGCCCUCCUUUGGAAGCAAGCUUUCCCUCGAAGUUGUGGAACCACCAUUAAAAAAUUCAGAUUUAUGGAUAUCCUGGAAAUUACAAAGCGGUGAUGGGACUCAGAGUUUAGCGUGCAGCUACAACUCCCCUAGAAAGUAAGACCCCAUCUGAGGGGCGGCUCUCAUCCUCCAGAACUCUGGCCACCAAAAACCAGAAGCUAAACCCUUCUCUCUCUUAGGGGGAGGCUAAGGAAGAAGGAGAAGGAGGGCAGCUCUCUUCCUUCUCUUUCGGUGGCAUUGGAGCGCCACCGGGGGAACCAUCAGCACCACCACCAUCUCCAAAAACACCUUGCUACCUCUUGAGCACUGCGUCGGUUUUCCCUUGAAGAGGAAAGGGUGAUGCAGUAAAGCAGCGUAAGUAUUUCCCUCAGUUUUUUAGAACCAAGGUAUCAAUCCAGUAGGAGGCCACGCGCGAGUCCCUCGCACCUACACAAACAAAUAAAUCCUCGCAACCAACGCAAUAAGGGGUUGUCAAUCCCUACACGGUCACUUACGAGAGUGAGAUCUGAUAGAUAUGAUAACAUAAUAUUUUUGGUAUUUUUAUGAUAAAGAUGCAAAGUAAAAUAGAAAGCAAUAAAAAUAACUAAGUAUUGGAAGAUUGAUAUAAUGGAGAAUAGACCCGGGGGCCAUAGGUUUCACUAGUGGCUUCUCUCGAAAGCAUAAGUAUUCACGAUGGGUAAACAAAUUACUGUCGAGCAAUUGACAGAAUUGAGCAUAGUUAUGAGAAUAUCUAGGUAUGAUCAUGUAUAUAGGCAUCACGUCCGAGACAAGUAGACUGACUCCUGCCUGCAUCUACUACUAUUACUCCACACAUCGACCGCUAUCCAGCAUGAAUCUAGAGUAUUAAGUUCAAGAGGACAGAGUAACGCUUUAAGCAAGAUGACAUGAUGUAGAGGGAUAAACUCAUGCAAUAUGAUGAAAACCCCAUCUUGUUAUCCUUGAUGGAAACAAUACAAUACGUGCCUUGCUGUCCCUACUGUCACCGGGAAAGGACGCCGCAAGAUUGAACCCAAAGUGAAGCACUUCUCCCAUUGCAAGAAAGAUCAAUCUAGUAGGCCAAACCAAACUGAUAAUUCGAAGAGACUUGCAAAGAUAACCAAUCAUACAUAAAAGAAUUCAGAGAAGAUUCAAAUAUUCUUCAUAGAUAAACUUGAUUGUAAACCCACAAUUCAUUGGUCUCAACAAACACACCGCAAAAGAAGAUUACAUCGAAUAGAUCUCCACGAGAGAGGGGGAGAACAUUGUAUUGAGAUCCAAAAAGAGAGAAGAAUUCAUCUAGCUAAUAACUAUGGACCCGUAGGUCUGAAGUAAACUACUCACACUUCAUCGGAGGGGCUAUGGUGUUGACGUAGAAGCCCUCCGUGAUCGAUGCUCUCUCCGACGGAGCUCCGGAACAGGCCCCAAGAUGGGAUCUCGUGGAUACAGAAAGUUACGGCGGUGGAAUUAGGGUUUUGGCUCCGUAUCUGGUAGUUUGGGGGUACGUAGGUAUAUAUAGGAGGAAGGAGUACAUCGUUGGAGCNNNNNNNNNNNNNNNNNNNNNNNNNNNNNNNNNNNNNNNNNNNNNNNNNNNNNNNNNNNNNNNNNNNNNNNNNNNNNNNNNNNNNNNNNNNNNNNNNNNNNNNNNNNNNNNNNNNNNNNNNNNNNNNNNNNNNNNNNNNNNNNNNNNNNNNNNNNNNNNNNNNNNNNNNNNNNNNNNNNNNNNNNNNNNNNNNNNNNNNNNNNNNNNNNNNNNNNNNNGGCUUCCCUGUUGGUUGCUUGACAUAGGGUCCAAGUCUCCUAGAUCAUGUUCGUUCCGAAAAUCACGUCCCCGAAGGUUUCAUUCCGUUUGGACUCCGUUUGAUAUUCUUUUCUUGCGAAACCCUAAAAUAGGCAAAAGACAACAAUUCUUGGCUGGGCCUCCGGUUAAUAGGUUAGUCCCAAAAAUAAUAUAAAAGUGUAUAAUAAAGCCCUAUAAUGUUUAAAACAUGAUAUAAUAUAGCAUGGAACAAUCAAAAAUUAUAGAUACAUUGGAGACGUAUCAAGCAUCCCCAAGCUUAAUUUCUGCUCGUCCUCGAGUAGGUAAAUGAUAAAAAUAGAAUUUUUUAUGUGGAAUGCUACUUGGCACAAUUUCAAUGUAAUUCUCUUAAUUGUGGUAUGAAUAUUGAGAUCCGAAAGAUUCAAGACAAAAGUUUAAUACUGACAUAGAAAUAAUAAUACUUCAAGCAUACUAACUAAGCAAUUGUGUCUUCUCAAAAUAACAUGGCCAAAGAAAGUUAUCCCUACAAAACCAUAUAGUCUGGCUAUGCUCCAUCUUCACCACACAAAGUAUUUAAAUCAUGCACAACCCUGAUGACAAGCCAAGCAAUUGUUUCAUACUUUUGGUGUUCUCAAACUUUUUCAAUCUUCACGCAAUACAUGAGCGUGAGCCAUGGACAUAUCACUAUAGGUGGAAUAGAAUGGUGUUUAUGGAGAAGACAAAAGGAAGGAGAAGAUGGUCUCACAUCAACUAGGCGUAUCAAUAGGCUAUGGAGAUGCCCAUCAAUAGAUAUCAAUGUGAGUGAGUAGGGAUUGCCAUGCAACGGAUGCACUAGAGCUAUAAGUGUAUGAAAGCUCAACAAAAUGAACUAAGUGGGUGUGCAUCCAACUCGCUUGCUCACGAAGACCUAGAGCAUUUUGAGGAAGCCCAUCAUUGGAAUAUACAAGCCAAGUUCUAUAAUGAAGAAUUCCCACUAGUAUAUGAAAGUGAUAACAUAGGAGACUCUCUAUCAUGAAGAUCAUGGUGCUACUUUGAAGCACAAGUGUGGUAAAAGGAUAGUAGCAUUGCCCCUUCUCUCUUUUUCUUUUUUUUAUUUGGGCCUUUUCUCUUCUUUUUUUAUGGCCUUUUUUUCGUCCGGAGUCUCAUCCCGACUUGUGGGGGAAUCAUAGUCUCCAUCAUCCUUUCCUCACUUGGGACAAUGCUCUAAAAAAUGAUGAUCAUCACACUUUUAUUUACUUACAACUCAACAAUUACAACUCAAUACUUAGAACAAAAUACGACUCUAUGUGAAUGCCUCUGGCGGUGUACUGGGAUAUGCAAUGAAUCAAGAGUGACAUGUAUGAAAGAAUUAUGAACGGUGGCUUUGCCACAAAUACAAUGUCAACUACACGAUCAUGUAAAGCAAUAUGACAAUGAUGGAGCGUGUCAUAGUAAAUGGAACGGUGGAAAGUUGCAUGGCAAUAUAUCCCGGAAUGGCUAUGGAAAUGCCAUGAUAGGUAGGUAUGGUGGCUGUUUUGAGGAAGGUACAUGGUGGGUGUAUGAUACCGGCGAAAGGUGUGCGGUAUUAGAGAGGCUAGCAAUGGUGGAAGGGUGAGAGUGCGUAUGAUCCAUGGACUCAACAUUAGUCAUAAAGAACUCAUAUACUUAUUUCAAAAAUUAGAAGUUAUCAAAGCAAAGUAUUACGCGCAUGCUCCUAGGGGGAUAUAUUGGUAGGAAAAUACCAUCGCUCGUCCCCGACCGCCACUCAUAAGGAAGACAAUCAAUAAAUAAAUCAUGCUCCGACUUCAUCACAUAACAGUUCGCCAUACGUGCAUGCUAUGAGAAUCACAAACUUUAACACAAGUAUUUCUCAAAUUCACAACUACUCAACUAGCACGACUCUAAUAUCACCAUCUCCAUAUCUCAAAACAAUUAUCAAGUUUCAACCUUCUCAUAGUAUUCAACACACUCAUAAGAAAAUUUUAUUAUUAAUCUUGAAUGCCUAAAAUAAUUAAAGCAAAUUACCACGCUGUUUUGUAGGACUCUCAAAAUAAUAUAAGUGAAGCAUGAGAGAACAAUGGUUUCUAAAAAACAAAUCUACCAACAUGCUCUAAAAAAUAUAAAUGAAGCACUAGAGCAAAAACUAUAUAACUCAAAAGAUAUAAGUGAAGCACAUAGAGUAUUUUAACAAUCUCUGAAUCAUGAGUGUCUCUCUCAAAAAGGUGUGUGAAGAAAGGAUGGUUGUGGAAAACUAACAAAUAAAGACUCAAAUAAUACAAGACACUCCAAGCAAAACACAUAUCAUGUGGUAAAUAAAAAUAUAGCUCCAAGUAAAGUUACCGAUAGAAGUAGACGAAAGAGGGGAUGCCUUCCGGGCCAUCCCCAAGCUUUGGCUUUUAGGUGUCCUUAGAUUAUCUUGGGGGUGACAUGGGCAUCCCCAAGCUUAUGCUCUUGCCACUCCUUGUUCCAUAAUCCAUCAAAUCUUUACCCAAAACUUGAAAACUUCACAACACAAAACUUAAAGUAGAAAAUCUCGUGAGCUCCGUUAGCGAAAGAAAAUAAAACACCACUUCAAGGUACUGUAAUGAAGUCAUUCUUUAUUUAUAUUGGUGUUAAACCUACUGUAUUCCAACUUCUAUAUGGUUUAUAAACUAUUUUACUAGCAAUAGAUUCAUCAAAAUAAGCAAACAACACAUGAAAAACAGAAUCUGUCAAAAACAGAACAGUCUGUAGUAAUCUGUAGCUAACGCAAGAUCUGGAACCCCAAAAAUUCCAAAAUAAAUUUUUGGACGUGAGGAAUUUAUCUAUUAAUCAUCUGCAAAAAUAAUUAACUAAAUAUCACUUUCCAAAUAAAAAUGAAAGCAGUUCUUGUGAGCGCUAAAGUUUCUGUUUUUACAGCAAGAUUAAAAAGACUUUCCCCAAGUCUUACCAACGGUUAUACUUGGAACAAACACUAAUUAAACACAAAAAACACAACCAAAACAAAGGCUAGAUAAAUUAUUUAUUACUAAACAGGAGCAAAAAUCAAGGAAUAAAAAUAAAAUUGGGUUGCCUCCCAACAAGCGCUAUCGUUUAACGCCCCUAGCUAGGCAUAAAAGUGAAGAUAGAUCUAGGUAUUGCCAUCUUUGGAAGGCAAUCCAUAAGUGGCUCUCAUAAUAGAUUCAUAAGGUAAUUUAAUUUUCUCUCUAGGGAAGUGUUCCAUGCCUUUCCUUACCAGAAAUUGGAAUCUAAUAUUUCCUUCCUUCAUAUCAAUAAUUGCACCAAUCGUUCUAAGGAAAGGUCUACCAAGAAUAAUAGGACAUGAAGGAUAAUAAAAUCCACGGGCACAUAAUUCCUAUUUGCAACAAUAAGAACAUCAUUAAUUCUUCCCAUAGGUUUCUUAAUAGUGGAAUCCACAAGAUGCAAGUUUAAAGAGCAAUCAUCAAAUUCACGGAAACCUAGCAAAUCACACAAAGUCUUAGGAAUCGUGGAAACACUAGCACCCAAAUCACACAAAGCAUAGAAUUCAUGAUCUUUAAUUUUAAUUUUAAUAGUUGGUUCCCACUCAUCAUAAAGUUUUCUAGGAAUAGAAACUUCCAACUCAAGUUUUUAUUCAUAAGAAUGCAUCAAAGCAUCAACAAUAUGUUUGGUAAAGGCUUUAUUUUGGCUAUAAGCAUCAGGAGAAUUUAGCACGGAUUGCAACAAGGAAAUACAAUCUAUCAAAGAGCAAUUAUCAUAAUUAAAUUCCUUGAAAUCCAAAAUAGUGGGUUCAUCUAUAUCUAGUGUUUUGACUUCUUCAAUCACACUUUUAACAAUUUUAGCAUCAAGAUCUAAAGAGUCCGAAUUUUUGGAACACCUUCUAGGUAAAGAUUGAUAUUUCAAAACAAAGAUUUAAUAGGGGACACAUCAAUAACUUUUAGAUCUUCAUCUUUAUUAUCAUGGAAACUAGAAGAACACGCUUUUAUAAAGUAAUCUUUCUUAGCACGCAUCCUAGCGGUUCUUUCUUUGCACUCAUCAAUGGAAAUUCUCAUGGAUUUGAGAGACUCAUUGAUAUCAUGCUUAGGUGGAAUAGAUCUAAGUUUCAAAGAAUCAACAUCAAGAGAAAUUCUAUCAACAUUCCUAGCCAACUCAUCAAUCUUAAGCAAUUUUUCUUCAAUCAAAGCAUUGAAAUUCUUUUGCAAAGUAAUAAAUUCUUUAAUAUUGGAUUCAAAAUCAGAGGGCAUCUUAUUAAAAUUUCCAUAAGAAUUGUUGUAGGAAUUACCAUAAUUAUUAGAGGAAUUACUAGGAUACGGCCUAGGAUUAAAGUUUCCUCUAUACGCGUUGUUACUAAAAUUAUUCCUACCAACAAAAUUCACAUCAAUAGAUUCAUUAUUAUUCUCAAUCAAAGUAGACAAAGGCAUAUCAUUAGGAUCAGAAGAAACACUUUUAUUAGCAAAUAAUUUCAUAAGUUCAUCCAUCUUUCCACUCAAAACAUUGAUUUCUUCUAUCGCAAGCACAUUCUUGUUAGUAGAUCUUUCAGUGUGCCAUUGAGAAUAAUUAACCAUAAUAUUAUCUAGGUGUGAUGCCCAGAUAGUUAAACUACAGUAAUUCCCUGCUAAUGAUGCCACGUCACCAUGAUUACCAUUAAUUAAACCCGCGUUGAUUCAAACGGGAUUCAAAUUCAAAUUUAAACUAAAGCCAAACACUAAAAGUUCUCAAUCAUUAAAACUAGAAUGUUCUAAAUGUGAAAAUAAAUGCAAAGGCUUAUUGGCAAAGGUAUCAACUACUUAGAAAAUAUUUAAAUGCCCUUACUUAAAUAAAACUACAGCUUAGACAAAUAAAUAAAUGCCUUUUCAAUUAUUAAAAUAUUAACUAAGUUAUUUAAUUGCCCAAAACUAUUGUGGCAGUGGCAUGUUUAUUAAAACUAAAUUAGGUACAACUUUGGUAUUUUACAAAACUAUAAUAAAUUAAAAAACUAAGAGAAAACAGAAAGUAAAAAGUAAAAAAAACAAAAUAAUACUAAGAAAAGGAGAACCCCCCCCCACACACACACAUUGGGUGGCUAUCCAUCCGGCCGGCCCAGCUGACCACCCUGCUGCCCACUGGCCUACUAAACCACCAACAGCCCCUCCGACACCACAACACCUCCCCCGAAAUAUCUCCUGGAUCGGAUCGGGAGAGGAGCUCCCGAUCCCGAUCCACCGGCGCCCUGCUCGCUGGUGAGCCGUCGCUGGAUCGCCGCCCCUCUCUGCCGGACUGCCUCCUCUUCGCCUCCACCCCAAUGGACUCCCUCGAGCCUCGCCGAGCCCUGUUCCCCUGCUCAAAUGUGACCACGCCGCCGCUCGAACCCUCCAUUUGCUCUCUCUCUCUCUCUCUCUCUCUCUCUCUACACGUCGCGCUCCGCCUCCCCCCGUCGCGGUCACCCCGCACCCACCGCCGCCGUUCGCGCACAUCCCCUCCUCCUCGCACGCGCUCACCCGCGCCCCUCCUCCGCCGGCCACGCCCGCCUAUGCGUGCUGCGUUCCCACGCGCGUGCGAGGCCGCGCCCCCGCUCACCCGCUGCUCCUAGCCGCCCGCUGGAUGUCGCCCCGCACACUGCUGGCUGUUGUUCCCAAUGCCGACGCCGUCGCCGCUGUCCCGCACCUGCUAUCGCUGCUACUUCACCACUGCUGCUGCUCACUGCUUCUUCUGCUACAUGCUGCUACCGGCCCCUGCUAGCGCUCCUGGCCGCCACACCAACCGCAUCGACUGCGCGCACGCGACGCUGCUCACGCCUCGCUCACCCCUUCUCCUACUGCUGUUGUUGCCCGCACCGGCCCCGUCCGCCCGCCGCCGCAGCCGCUGCACCCUCCCGGUGCCCGCGCCUUUGGGUUGGCUCCACCGCGCCACCCCUCUGACCGGCGCCCCCACCGCACCCCGGCAGCCGUGCCGCCGGUCUCGCCGAGGCCAGCGCUCGGGCUCGCCGCCCGUGGCUGUGCCCGAUCGGUCUCCCCGCUCCGCCCCAUUAACAGCCACGCCCGUUAGGCCCCCCUUGGCCUAUGACAGUGGGCCCGCCCCUAUAUAAAAGAAUAGAAAAAACAUAAUAAAAAUGUUAAUUAAAUUAUUUCAUUAACUAAUUAAUUAAUUAUUUUUUUGAGAAUCAAUUAAUUAAUUACUUAAUUAGCAAGCUUAGAUUAGCCUAAUCACUAGAUUAGUUGGAACCAAAAUUAAUUAGUCAAAACAGAGAAUGACAGGGGGCCCCACCCCCUUGUUGACCAGUCAAAGUUUGACUGGUCAACUGGGACCCCUGGACCCACAUGUCAGCCACAAGUACACUUCUGUGUACACUUGUGGGUGCACAUAGCAUUUUGACUUUUAUUUUCAAAUUAAAGUUAAUUUUAGAAAAUGAAUAAAACUUUGAAAAAUCAUAGAAAAUAAUUCGUAACUCAGAUGAAGAAACUUUGUACAUGAAAGUUGCUCAGAACAACGAGACGAAUCCGGCCACGCAACCCGUUCGUCCGCCACGCAUCCCUAGCAUAGCGAACACGCAACUUUCCCCCUCCGGUUCAUCUGUCCGAAAACACGAAACACUGGGGAUAUCUUUCGGAUGUUUCCCCCCUUCAUCGGUACCACCUCAUACCGCGUUAGGGCACCCCUACCACCGCUACUUGACAUGUCAUGCAUCGUCACGCAUAUGUUUGCUUAAUAUUUAUUGUUUCUUCCCCCUCUUCUCUCGCUAGACACUUAGACCGAUGCCGCUGCUACCCAGUACGACUAUGGUGUUGACGACCCCUCUCUCUUGCCAGAGCAACCAGGCAAGCCCCCCCUUUGAUCACCAGAUAUCGCCUACUCUUAUCUCUACUUCUUGCAUUAGAGUAGUGUAGCAUGUUACUACUUUCCGUUAAUCCUAUUCUGAUGCAUAGCCUGUCAUUGUUGCUACAACUAUUGAUACCUUACCUGCAAUCCUAAAUGCUUAGUAUAGGAUGCUAGUUUAUCAUCAGUGGCCCUACAUUCUUGUCUGUCUGCCAUGCUAUACUAUCAGGCCGUGAUCACUCGGGAGGUGAUCACGGGUAUAUAUAUACAUACUAUACAGGUGGUGACUAAAGUCGGGUCGGCUCGUUGAGUACCCGCAAGUGAUACUGAUGUGGGGGCUAAAGGGGCAGGUGGCUCCAUCCAGGUAGUGGUGGGCCUGGGUUCCCGACGGCCCCCGACUGUUACUUUGAGACGGAGCGACAGGGCAGGUUGAGACCACCUAGGAGAGAGGUGGGCCUGGCCCUGGUCGGCGUUCGCGGUUACUUCAAGAUAACACGUUUAACGAGAUCUUGGUAUUUGAUCUGAGUCUGGCCACUGGCCUAUAUGCACUAACCAACUACGCGGGGACAGUUAUGGGCACUCGAUGUCGUGGUAUCAGCCGAAGCCUUCGUGAUGUCAGCGACUGAGCGGCGCGUGCUGGAUUGGACAGGAACGCCUGCUAGGCUAGGUCUGCUUCCGGCCGCCCUCGCAACGUGCAGGUGUGCAAUGGGCGAUGGGCCCAGACCCCUGCGCCAUAGGAUUUAGACCGGCGUGCUGACCUCUCUGUUGUGCCUAGGUAGGGCUGCGACGUGUUGAUCUUCCGAGGCCAGGCAUGACCCAGAAAAGUGUGUCCAGACAAAGGGGAUCGAGCGUGUUGGGAAAUGUGGUGCACCCCUGCAGGGAAGUUAAUCUAUUCGAAUAGCCGUGAUCUUCGGUAACAGGACGACUUGGAGUUGUACCUUGACCUUAUGACAACUAGAACCGGAUACUAAAUAAAACACACCCUUCCAAGUGCCAAAUACAACCCGGUGGUCACUCUCUAACAGGGCGACGAGGGGAGGAUCGCCGGGUAGGAAUAUGCUAUGCAAUGAUACAUGGUGAACUUACCAUCUACUCUCUUCCUCUGCUGCAAGAUGGAGGUUACCAGAAGCGUAGUCUUCGAUAGGACUAGCUAUCCCCCUCUUAUUACGGCAUUCUGCAGUUCAGUCCACAUAUGUUACCCCCUUUUCCAUUUGAUACCAAUGCAUACAUAUGUAGUGUAGCUCCUUGCUUGCGAGUACUUUGGAUGAGUACUCACGGUUGCUUUGCUCCCCCUUUUCCCCUUUCCUAUACCCGAUUGUUGCGACCAGACGUUGGAGUCCAGGAGCCAGACGCCACUGUCGAUGACGACUCCUACUACACUAGAGGUGCUUACUACUACGUGCAGCCCGCUGACGACGACCAGGAGUAGUUGAGGAGGAUCCCAGGCAGGAGGCAUGCGCCUCUUUCAAUCUGUAUCCCAGUUUGUGCUAGCCUUCUUAAGGCAAACUUGUUUAACUUAUGUGUGUACUCAGAUAUUGUUGUUUCCGCUGACUCGUCUAUGAUCGAGCUCUUGUUUUCGAGCCUUCGAGGCCCCUGGCUUGUAAUAUGAUGCUUGUAUGACUUAUUUUAUUUGUAGAGUUGUGUUGUGAUAUCUUCCCGUGAGUCCCUGAUCUUGAUCGUACACGUUUGCGUGUAUGAUUAGUGUACGAUUGAAUCGGGAGCGUCACACUAGGAGUUUAGUAGCUUCUCCUAAAGUGAUUUCCAUAAAAGUGCCUCCCCCGGCCGAAUCUAAAAGAUUUCUAGAAGCAAAAUUCAACCCGGCAUAAUUUUUUUGUAUAAUCAUCCAUAAAUUCAAACCAUGUGUAGGGCAAUUACGUAUCAUUAAUUUCAUCCUCUCCCAAGCUUGUGCAACAUGUCCAUGAUCAAGUUGCUUAAAAUUCCUGAUAUCGUUUCUAAGAGAGAUGAUUUUAGCGGGAGGAAAAUACUUAGAGAUAAAAGCAUCUUUGCACUUAUUCAAUGAAUCAAUACUAUUUUUAGGCGAAGACGAAAACCAAGCUUUAGCAUGAUCUCUAAGCGAAAAAGGAAAUAGCUUCAAUUUAACAAUGUCAUUGUCCACAUCUAUCUUCCUUUGCAUAUCACAUAAAUCAAUGAAGCUAUUUAGGUGGGUAGCGGUAUCUUCGCUAGGAAGGCCGGCGAAUUGAUCUUUCAUGCCAAGAUUCAACAAAGCAGCAUUAAUUUCACAAGAUUCAUCAUCGGUAAGAGGAGCAGUCGGAGUGUUAAUAAAAUCAUUGUUGUUGGUAUUAGUGAGGUCACACAAUUCGGUGUUAUCUUGAGCCAUCGUGACAAGCAAGCAAUCCAACAAACAAGCAAACAAGAGACGGGCAAAAAGAGGCAAAUAGAGAAAGAGAGGGAGGAUAGAGAGAGAGAGAGAGGGCGAAUAAAACGGCAAGGGUGAAGUGGGGGAGAGGAAAACGAGAGGCAAAUGGCAAAUAAUGUAAUGCGGGAGAUAAGGAUUUGUGAUGGGUACUUGGUAUGUUGACUUUUGCGUAGACUCCCCGGCAACAGCGCCAGAAAUCCUUCUUGCUACCUCUUGAGCACUGCGUUAGUUUUCCCUUGAAGAGGAAAGGGUGAUGCAGUAAAGCAGCGUAAGUAUUUCCCUCAAUUUUUGAGAACCAAGGUAUCAAUCUAGUAGGAGGCCACACGCGAGUCCGUCGCACCUACACAAACAAAUAAAUCCUCGCAACCAACGCGAUAAGGGAUUGUCAAUCCCUACACGGUCACUUACGAGAGUGAGAUAGGAGCCCCAUGUAGGCACCACAUCUGGAAAAGCCUAGGGUGCAUAGGAGCCCCAUGUAGGCACCCAAAAUGUCAUGGCGCCAAGGCAUUCUAGGAACCUUCUAGAGCCCUCCUUUGGAAUCGAGCUUUCCCUCGAAGUUGUGGAACCACCAUUAAAAAAUUCAGAUUUCUGGAUAUCUUGGAAAUUACAAAGCGGUGAUGGGACUCAGAGUUUAGCGUGCAGCUACAACUCCCCUAGAAAGUAAGACCCCAUCUGAGGGGCGGCUCUUAUCCUCCAGAACUCUGGCCACCAAAAACCAAAAGCUAAACCCUUCUCUCUCUUAGGGGGAAGGCUAAGGAAGAAGGAAAAGGAGGGUAGCUCUCUUCCUUCUCUUUCAGUGGCAUUGGAGCGCCACUGGGGGAACCAUCAUCACCACCACCAUCUCCAACAACACCUUGCUACCUCUUGAGCACUGCGUCAGUUUUCCCUUGAAGAGGAAAGGGUGAUGCAGUAAAGUAGCGUAAGUAUUUCUCUCAGUUUUUGAGAACGAAGGUCUCAAUCCAGUAGGAGGCCACGCGCGAGUCCCUCGCAUCUACACAAACAAAUAAAUCCUCGCAACCAACGCGAUAAGGGGUUGUCAAUCCCUACACUAUCACUUACGAGAGUGAGAUCUGAUAGAUAUGAUAAGAUAAAACUUUUGGUAUUUUUAUGAUAAAGAUGCAAAGUAAAAUAGAAAGCAAUGAAAAUAACUAAGUAUUGGAAGAUUGAUAUAAUGGAGAAUAGACCCGGGGGCCAUAGGUUUCACUAGUGGCUUCUCUCAAGAGCAUAAGUAUUCACAGCGGGUAAACAAAUUACUGUUGAGCAAUUGACCGAAUUGAGCAUAGUUAUGAGAAUAUCUAGGUAUGAUCAUGUAUAUAGGCAUCACGUCCGAGACAAGUAGACCGACUCCUGCCUACAUCUACUGCUAUUACUCCACACAACGACCGCUAUCCAGCAUGCAUCUAGAGUAUUAAGUUCAAGAGAACAGAGUAACGCUUUAAGCAAGAUGACAUGAUGUAGAGGGAUAAACUCAUGUAAUAUGAUGAAAACCCCAUCUUGUUAUCCUCGAUGGCAAAAUACAAUACGUGCCUUGCUGCCCCUACUGUCACUGGGAAAGGACACCGCAAGAUUGAACCCAAAGCUAAGCACUUCUCCCAUUGCAAGAAAGAUCAAUCUAGUAGGCCAAACCAAACUGAUAAUUCGAAGAGACUUGCAAAGGUAACCAAUCAUACAUAAAAAUUCAGAGAAGAUUCAAAUAUUCUUCAUAGAUAAACUUGAUCAUAAACCCAUAAUUCAUCGGUCUCAACAAACACACCGCAAAAGAAGAUUACAUCGAAUAGAUCUCCACGAGAGAGGGGGAGAACAUUGUAUUGAGAUCCAAAAAGAGAGAAGAAGCCAUCUAGCUAAUAACUAUGGACCCGUAGGUCUGAAGUAAACUACUCACACUUCAUCGGAGGGGCUAUGGUGUUGAUGUAGAAGCCCUCCGUGAUCGAUGCCCCCUCCGGCAGAGCUCCGGAACAGGCCCCAAGAUGGGAUCUCGUGGAUACAGAAAGUGACGGCGGUGGAAUUAGGGUUUUGGCUCCGUAUCUGGUAGUUUGGGGGUACGUAGGUAUAUAUAGGAGGAAGGAGUACAUUGGUGGAGCAACAGGGGGCCCACGAGGGUGGAGGNNNNNNNNNNNNNNNNNNNNNNNNNNNNNNNNNNNNNNNNNNNNNNNNNNNNNNNNNNNNNNNNNNNNNNNNNNNNNNNNNNNNNNNNNNNNNNNNNNNNNNNNNNNNNNNNNNNNNNNNNNNNNNNNNNNNNNNNNNNNNNNNNNNNNNNNNNNNNNNNNNNNNNNNNNNNNNNNNNNNNNNNNNNNNNNNNNNNNNNNNNNNNNNNNNNNNNNNNNNNNNNNNNNNNNNNNNNNNNNNNNNNNNNNNNNNNNNNNNNNNNNNNNNNNNNUACCUCGUGGCUUCCCUGUUGGUUGCUUGACGUAGGGUCCAACUCUCCUGGAUCAUGUUCGUUCCAAAAAUCACGUUCCCGAAGGUUUCAUUCCGCUUGGACUCCGUUUGAUAUUCUUUUCUUACGAAACCAUAAAAUAGGCAAAAAAAACAACAAUUCUGGGCUGGGCCUCCGGUUAAUAGGUUAGUCCCAAGAAUAAUAUAAAAGUGUAUAAUAAAGCCCAAUAAUGUUUAAAACAGGAUAUAGUAUAGCAUGGAACAAUAAAAAAUUAUAGAUACGUUGGAGACGUAUCACACCUCCAUCAUAACCAUGCAAACCAACAACCCUUUCAUCAUCACCAUCACGCUCCUCUUCUCCAUGUGUGAGUAAUUUCUUGUAGGCACAUGGGGUGCAUCCAAUCUGGGUGAUAGAAAAUUAUGUAAUAGUGUUAAGAUUGAUGUAGUAUUGACCUCGUGUGUUUGAGAAUUAUUUUUUCUAUGACUUUGUUGUGCCCAAUUCCUUUUUACUAGGGCCCGAGUAAUAAUAUUUCAGAUGUGAAUCAUGUUUGUAUUUUGUGUGUUUUUGUUCAUGAUCGUACCUGCACGUCAUAUGCACCUGUUUUGUUUCAAACCGGAGACCUCGAGGGUGACAGACUGGGGUAUCAAAGGGAAUGGAUAUAAUUUGAGGAUUACAUGUAUUAGUGUAGUGUUAAUGCAUUGUUUUGGUUGAGUCCCAGGGUCAGCUUAAUAACUCUUACUUUCCUUAUAAACCCCAAAGAAAAGGGCGGUUGGACCGUACAUGAGAGGCACGUUCUUUUUAAGCAUGUCUCUCAAUUUAAGGAAUACAAGACUAUUUUUUCGAGAUAAUCCAGAAGUCAUGUUACAUCACCGCACCAUGUAAUGAUUUGUCCCGUCUGGGUAUUAUACACCCCUAUGCCUACACUUUUCAUCAUUGCUUGCUCUCUUUAAAAUAUUUGAUACUUGGCAACUUUGGGUAUUUGUUGCUUGUUACUAUGCUUUGUGUUACUCUACCGUGACCUACAUCAAUCAAUCAACUUGCUACUUAAUAAGGGAAACACUAAAAGUGCAAAGAUAGUUUCGUGAGUGACACAUGUAACUUGAAAUAACAGAAAUGUACUUUUGGCUCUCAUGUGGUAUGACAUUCAAUACUUCCACAUCCACAUUGGAAAAAGUUUUAUAAUAACUCCCUACACUUGGAGAUUAUCAAGCUGCAUCCGCACAUGCGAGGCGUCAGACACAUGGAUAAUACGAUGGCACUGUCAUCUUCCCGAGCGCCGACUUCACCCAUGCUACUACUGUUGGCGAGGCUUACAACACACUACCAUGACUCCAUAUCCUAGGGGAGAGAGAAGGAGAUGUGGAGGGGGGUAGAGAGAGACUGUUGAUAUGUGCCCCCCUUCCAACUUAACGGUCAACACAACCUCUGUCUAUUUUUCAUUUAAUGGCUCAUGGAAACAAUGCUGACUUGUGGUCCCACUUUAGUGUUUACAUGUGGGUCCAACUAGUCAGUAAAAUAAUUAAAAUUAACUAACUACAUCACUAGUGUUCUUUGUGAAUUUUGAGCAUGAUGUAAGUGGUAUUGGCGAUAAAGCUGAAAUGUGGUUUUGGGACCUACAUAUACGCUUGAUGAUUUACAAGAACGAUCCUACUACUUGUAGAUUUUGACCUAGGGUUUCCGCCUUUGAGGCAUGGGUUGGGCCGUGAGGUUGUGAGCCCAAGCCGUCACAUGACCCUGUGGGCCGGGAGGGCCACUCUAUUGCAAGUAUCACAUCAUUUCUUGAGAAUUGUACAUUAAAAAAGAUGAAAAUAAUGACAUCUAUAAGUUCUUGGAAGAUUUUUUUUCCGUUGAAAACAAGUGCUCUUCAGACGAACUUCCAAUUUUUGAGGAUUGUGAACACGUCCAAGUAUUUCUUACGAUUCUCGAAUUAUUUCCUCUAUUUCUGGAAUUUUGGAGUGCUAGAGGAAUGGGUAAAUUGUUUGUUUCCCUUCCCAUAUUUGAUUGUUUAGUCUUGAAUACAAAAUGGCAGCAUUAUAGAUUUGCAUUUAUAAUUAGAUUUACAGAAGGUCUAACUACUCCUGAGCUCAAAUGUACCCGAUAAAACAACAUAUCCAAGAAAAAUAGAAAAAAAUUAUUCUUUUAAUAACCAUGGUCGAGGGCUCUAUGUAGUUAAAAUUCUUAUGGGGAAUAUGAGAGUUGUGUUGCUAUGAAAAAAACGAACCUAUAACAUGCUUCAAAAUUUGGCUUUUUUAGAGCAUCAGAUUUGUGAUUUGUCAAGGCACCACCGAUGUCAUUUCUUAACAAUAUUUCCAAAAAAACAUAUUUUUAUUUUAUGUUUUGCUAUUUUUUUGGAUGUUGUUCACACGGCUGAUGUGUAUCCAUGUGCCAAUACUUCAUAUGUAUCGGUGAGCAUACCUAGUUGCAGUGAGAUACGCUCUGUACAUACCCAAUCGAGUCACCUAGAUAGUACCUAGAGAGACUCAUGUUCUACGCCCAAGUAGGUAGUUGAAAGGAAUAUGAUAAGGAAAGGGUGAACUAAGUCAGGGAUUCAAUUCUUAUGAGAGAUAUGCUUCCCAUAACAACAUGAUUACCUGAUCAUAUCAUAUUCUCCAAAGGUGAUAUUCUCCGAAGGUCUAACUACGCUCUGUACAUUACCCUUCCUCCGAAGUAUCAUCCAACUUCGAAGGCAACAGGCACAUAAACAUCGAGAUCCCUUCGGCAACCACCUUUCCACUACAGUGUCUAAUGAUGUGAUAUUUCACUGUAUUCUAUGGAUGUAUAGGUAUGAUUUAUUUUAGUAUGGAUAUAGUAUCAGCUGAUUCCAUGAACACUUGCCGACAAUCCAAUAUAAUUUAUUGGUCAUCAUUAGGGAGUCUUUGUUGAUUUUCCCUCUAGAAGAUUAAGAGUUCAAUAUGUAAGUGCUGACUCAAACGAAGUUUGAAUCGAUAAUCACACAAUUACUAGUAGAUAAUAUCAUGUACAAUUUCCAACGAUUUCAAUUUUGAAUGCAUGUCAAAAUAUGAUUGUAAUCAGUCCAAUGAAUUAGCGGUUUUAAUUUGGCACUGUGAUUCGAAAGUUUGUCAUUGAAUCAGGAAGUCAGGUCAAAAGCACAAAUUUAAAUUAUCAUGAUUUUUCUGAUCAAGAACAGACUAACCACAUCCUAGGUGAUCCCCACUGACUUAUUCCUCUGAACAUUCAACCCUGUAUGGGAAAAGGCCCACCUCCACAUACAACCAUGCGUAAGAAACAAAAAUGCUUAGUCAUUUGUAUUUUUUAUCGAUUAGUCAUUUAUAUUAACUUAUUUAGCUAUUCACACUCAACCUUUUUCGCAAAAAAGCAUAUUGUACUACUAUACAAUAACUAUUUUUUAAUUUGAGUUUUUAUAUUAUAAAUAUAAAAAUUUAUGUUUCACAUAAGUAAAUCACAGUGCGUACUCAUAGUUCUAUGUGUGUGUAUGGCUGCGACUACAAUAUCAUAAAAUACUAGUAAGAUGCCUGUGUUUCGCUACGGAAUCACAAAAGAUAAGAAAAAGCAGGAAUGUACCAACACAUUGAUCAAAGCGAUGCCACAUAGCUAAUUGAUACCCAUUAGACAUAAACAAACAUACAGUUUCCAACCAAUAUAACCCUUCUAAGACAAGCAGUUUUUUUCUCCAUCUUCACUUUACAAGAAUAUGUUUGUUCUCCCUACUCGGCUUUAUCAUUGUUCACUCUGUCCUAUUGGCAAUAGAAAAUAUUUCCACACAUUUGGAAAUUGUGAUGACACAGACCGGCUUUAUCUUGGACUUCAAAUUGGUCUAUGUCUCCAGAUCAUCUUCCCUUAACAUGGGCUCCACCUCCAGUACACACACACUAUUCUACACUAGAAAUGAUUAUGCAUUAAGCAUAUCACUUUAACCUAAUCUUAAUAUGAAUAAUGGAAGAAUGACAAUGCCCCAAUAUCAAUAUUUAUCGACAGGAAUUAGUGCAUUGGAGGUACCAUGAUUAUUGACUUCAUCUUUGGGUCCAAUCUGAUGGGUUCAACCUAUUAGCACAUUUCCUCUUCCAUCACCUAUCACAUAAUGGUAUUUUGAAGCAUAGCAAUCUGCAAUAUUGCAAGUGUGACCAACCAAUAUUAAAUAUUGGUUAAACAGUUUGUUAAAUGUAUUAUAGUCCCGUAAAUAGCAAACAUAUCACAGUCAGCAAUUGACGAGGAAAACUAUGAAAAAGAACAUACAAACAAAAAUAAUUCAUACAAAACUUGCUUACAUAAAAGAUCAUAUACAAGUUAAAAAAUGGUUGCAUGUACAUGAAUGAUUGGAAUCUGGAACAUAGAAAGAAGCAUUGAUGCCUCAACAUAACCGCGAGAUUCGAAAGAGAUAUAGGUUCCAGUUUAGUUUUAUGACACAACGGGAUAGUUGUUGAUUUAAUUGAUAGAAGAAAUAAACAAUUUACAGAACAUAGGAAAAGUAUAAGACAAACACACAAUGACCAUGUACACUAAUCUAAAUUACUAUGGCAAAAUGAUGUGAUGUGCGUUGGCCUCGUUCCAACACUGACUUCCUCAAUGGAAAGACAUGCAAGCAACGCAACCAAUAAUUCCAAAUUGCAAAAUAUGUGACAGUGGCGGUGGCGCUCGUCAUGAAGAGAACAAAAAUUUUAGGCAUGACUCACGCAACUAGUUCCACUUACACAGUUACAUAACUUCGGCAUCUCUCAGGACAUGGAAUCGUUUGUCAAGCAUAGUAUACCCUUAUCAUAGUUGUUUUCUCAAAACAUAUGCAAACACAAUAUUAGCUACCGAGCUCUCGCUUCAUCUAUCUUAUCACCAAGAAGAACAUCAGACAAUCACUACUACAUAUAUAACAAUCUGUAUUAUAUCUAGGCAAAUGAGAAAUACUUUCUUAGAUCUGAUAGGAGAAACACAUAACAUACGGAGGGAUGAGCGUGGUUGGGAGCGGACACAGUAGGUAGGGGUAGUUAGCACCACCACACUAGCGCCUCCUCGAACGAGCAGCUCGCCACCAAUAUAAAUCCUUUGCUUCUACAAAGCCCGGGCCUACUCAUAGUGUUACUCACGCUGGUAGGCUCCAUGAAAAAAGCCCUCAAGUUGGAGGUCCAAAGCCUGCACAAAAGAGAAUCAACCCAACAACCACAAAGUUAAAAUGAACAUACCAGGAUAUGCCAGCACAAUCACCACUAUCCUCUCCGUCUUCAAUGACUUGCACAGCCUGAUCUAGAAGGAUAGGUACUCAGCAAGCUCAAAGCCAAAUCUGAUUUCUUGAGACCCUAAUUACAACUACAACUAGACAAGGGGAGGGACCCUCGCUCAACUCAACUUGUUUGGUCGCCUGAAAGAGUGGGGGGGGAGGGGUGGUGUUGCCCGAUGGUGAGGAAUUUUGGAGGAGUUCUCGAAGAUUCUUUGUUUUUAUCUGAAGACUCGAUUUCUUUCGCGGGAGAAGGAGAAAGGAGAACUAAUAGCUAUUUUUCUACAUGAGAACAAUUCUAGUGUUUCAGAUGGUUUUUUUUGCAGAAGUGCAACUGUUGUUGUUCGGGGGCAACUGGUCUCAGACUCAUCGGACGGUUCAGAUUGCAUGAUGGUACGUAUGCAGCUUGGUGGGUAGGCAUGCAGACGGUUAGUUUCAAGGUGUAUUGUGUACAUGUCUUGGCAUCUUGCAUCAACACUCAUGUUGUUAGGGCAUCUCCAACCCCGACCCUUAAACCUCCCGCAAUCGUCUAGACCGCGCUUCGGACCGCAAAAGCCAUCCAACUCGGGCCUAUAUCGGUCCACGUCAUGGUCUAUACACAUUUUCUCCCACAAACCAGAGACAAACAUGGGAGAGCUUUGCGGGAGUCCGGAUUACUGUCAUGCUCGCUUCUAACCACCCUAGCCCACCCAAACCCCUCCUCCCUCACCCGUACGUGUUUCUGCCCGACGUCAGCUGCCCACAUGAAGGAAAUAUGCCCUAGAGGCAAUAACAAAGUUGUUAUUUAUAUUUCCUUAUAUCAUGAUAAAUGUUUAUUAUUCGUGCUAGAAUUGUAUUAACCGGAAACUUAGUACAUGUUGAUACGUCUCCAACGUAUCUAUAAUUUUUGAUUGCUCCAUGCUAUAUUAUCUACUGUUUUGGACUAUAUUGGGCUUUAUUUUCCACUUUUAUAUUAUUUUUGGGACAAACCUAUUAACCAGAGGCCUAGCCCAGAAUUGCUAUUUUUUGCCUAUUUCAGUGUUUCAGAUAAACGGAAUAUCAAACGGAGUCCAAACGGAAUAAAAUCUUCGGGAACAUGAUUUUCUCACCGAACGUGAUCCAGGAGACUUGGACCCUGCUCCAAGGAACAAAAGAGGCGGUCACGAGGGUGGGGGCGCCCUCCUAGGGCGCGCCCCCUGCCUCGUGGGCCCCUUGUUGCUCCUCCGACGUACUUAUUCCUCCUAUAUAUACACACGUACCCCCCAACGAUCAGAACAGGAGCCAAAAACCUAAUUCCACCGCCGCAACUUUCUGUAUCCACGAGAUCCCAUCUUGGGGCCUGUUCCGGAGCUCCGCCAGAAUAGGACCGUAAUCACGGAGGGCUUCUACAUCAUCCUAGCCCCUCCGAUGAAGUGUGAGUAGUUUGCCUCAGACCUUCGGGUCCAUAGUUAGUAGCUAGAUGGCUUCUUCUCUCUCUUUGAAUCUCAAUACAAAGUUCUCCCCCUCUCUUGUGGAGAUCUAUUCGAUGUAAUCUUCUUUUUGCGGUGUGUUUGUUGAGACCGAUGAAUUGUGGGUUUAUGAUCAAGUCUAUCUAUGAAUAAUAUUUGAAUCUUCUCUGAAUUCUUUUAUGUAUGAUUGGUUAUCUUUGCAAGUCUCUUUGAAUUAUCCGUUUGGUUUGGCCAACUAGAUUGGUAGUUCUUGCCAUGGGAGAAGUGCUUAGCUUUGGGUUCGAUCUUGCGGUGUCCUUACCCAGUGACAGAAGGGGCAGCAAGGCACGUAUUGUAUCGUUGCCAUCGAGGAUAACAAGAUGGGGUUUAUUUCAUAUUGCAUGAAUUUAUCUGUCUACAUCAUGUCAUCUUGCUUAAGGCGUUCCUCUGUUUUUAACUUAAUACUCUAGAUGCAUGCUGGAUAGCGGUCGAUGAGUGGAGUAAUAGUAGUAGAUGCAGAAUCGUUUCGAUCUACUUGUCAUGGACGUGAUGCCUAUAUACAUGAUCAUGCCUAGAUAUUCUCAUAACUAUGAUCAGUUCUGUCAAUUGCUCAACAGUAAUUUGUUCACCCACCGUAGAAUACUUAUGCUCUUGAGAGAAGCCACUAGUGAAACCUAUGGCCCCCGGGUCUAUUCUCAUCAUAUCAAUCUCCAUCACUUUAAUCUUGCUUUGCUUUUUUACUUUGCUUUUACUUUUCACUUUGCAUCUUUAUACCAAAAAUACCAAAAAUAUUAUAUCUAUCAGAUCUCACUCUCGUAAGUGACCAUGAAGGGAUUGACAACCCCUAAUCGCAUUGGUUGUGAGUAGCUAUCGCUUUGUGCAGGUACGAGGUACUUGAGCGUGGGCUCCUACUGGAUUGAUACCUUGGUUCUAAAAAACUGAGGGAAAUACUUACGCUACUCUGCUGCAUCAUCCCUUCCUCUUCGGGGAAAACCAACGCAAGCUCAAGACGUAGCAAGAAGGAUUUCUGGCGCCGUUGCCGGGGAGUCUACGCAAAAAGUCAACAUACCAAGUACCCAUCACAAUCCCUAUCUCUCGCAUUAUAUUAUUUGCCAUUUGCCUCACGUUUUCCUCUCCCCCCAAUUCACCCUUGCCGUUUCAUUCGCCCUCUCUCUCUCUAUCCUCCCUCUCUAUUUUCCUCCUUUGGACCGCUUGCCUUUUUGUUUGCUCGUGUGUUAGAUUGCUUGUUUUUCGCGAUGGCUCAAGAUACUACUAAAUUGUGUGACUUCACCAAUACUAAUAAUAAUGAUUUCCUUAGCACUCCAAUUUCUCCUCUUACCGAUGAUGAAUCUUAUGAAAUUGAUACUGCUUUGUUGAAUCUUGUUACGAAAGAUCAAUUCGCCGGCCUUCCUAGUGAAGAUGCCGCUACUCAUCUGAAUAGCUUCGUUGAUUUAUGUGAUAUGCUAAAGAAAAAAGAUGUCAAUAAUGAUGUCAUUAAAUUUAAGCUAUUUCCUUUUUCUCUUAGAGAUCGUGCUAAAGCUUGGUUUUCGUCUUUGCCUAAGAAUAGUAUUGAUUCAUGGAACAAGUGCAAAGAUGCUUUUAUCUCUAAGUAUUUUCCUCCCGCUAAGAUCAUCUCUCUUAGAAACGAUAUUAUGAACUUUAAACAACUUGAUCAUGAACAUGUUUCACAAGCUUGGGAGAGAAUGAAAUUAAUGAUACGUAAUUGCCCUACUCAUGGUUUGAAUUUGUGAAUGAUUAUACAAAUUUUUAUGCCGAAUUGAAUUUUGCUUCUAGAAAUCUUUUAGAUUCGGCCGCGGGAGGCACUUUUAUGGAAAUCACUUUAGGAGAUGCUACUAACUCCUAGAUAAUAAUAUGGUUAAUUAUUCUCAAUGGCAUACUGAAAGAUCUUCUAAUAAAAAAGUGCAUGCGAUAGAAGAAAUCAAUGUGUUGAGUGGAAAGAUGGAUGAACUUAUGAAAUUAUUUGCUACUAAGAGUGCUUCUUUUGAUCCUAAUGAUAUCCCUUUGUCUACUUUGAUUGAGAAUAACUAUGAAUCUAUGGAUGUGAAUUUUGUUGGUAGGAGUAAUUUUGGUAACAAUGCUUAUAGAGGGAAUUUUAAUUCUAGGCCAUAUCCUAGUAAUCCAUCUAAUAAUUAUGGGAAUUCUUACAACAACUCUUAUGGAAAUUAUAAUAAGAUGCCCUCUGAAUUUGAGACUAGUGUUAAAGAGUUUAUGAAUUCACAAAAGAAUUUUAAUGCUUUGCUUGAGGAGAAAUUGCUUAAAGUUGAUGAUUUGGCUAGAAACGUUGAUAGAAUUUCUCUUGAGAUUGAUUCUUUAAAGCUUAGAUCUAUUCCUCCUAAGCAUGAUAUUAAUGAGUCUCCCAAAGCCAUGAGAAUUUCCAUUGAUGAGUGCAAGGAAAGAACCGCUAGGAUGCGUGCUUCCAAAGAUGCCUUUAUUAAAGCGUGUUCUUCCAAUACCUAUGAAAAUCAAGAUGAAGAUCUAAAAGUUAUUGAUGUGUCUCCUAUUAAAUCUUUAUUUUGCAAUAUGAAUCUUGAUGAAACUGAAUAUGAUCUUCCUUUACCUAGAAGGCGUUCUAAAAAUUCGGAGUAUUUAGAUCUUAAUGAUGAAAUUGAUGAAAGUGGGAUUGAAAGAAAUAAAAAUCUAGAUGUUGCUAAACCCACUAUAUUGGAUUUCAAGGAAUUUAAUUAUGAAAGUUGCUCUUUAAUUUAUUGUAUUUCCUUGUUGCAAUCCGUGCUAAAUUCUCCACAUGCUUAUAGUCAAAAUAAAGCCUUCAAAGAACAUAUUGUUUAUGCCUUGAUGCAAUCUUAUGAAGAAAAACUUGAGUUGAAAGUUUCUAUCCCUAGAAAACUCUAUGAUGAGUGGGAACCAACUAUUAAAAUUAAAAUUAAAGAUCAUGAGUUUUAUGCUUUGUGUGAUUUGGGUGCUAGUGUCUCUACUAUUCCCAAGACUUUGUGUGAUUUACUAGAUUUCCGUAAUUUUGAUGAUUGCUCUCUAAACUUGCAUCUUGCGGAUUCCACUAUUAAGAAACCUAUGGGAAGGAUUAAUGAUGUUAUUAUUGUUGCAAGUAGGAAUUAUGUGCCCGUAGAUUUCAUUGUUCUUGAUAUAGAUUGCAAUCAUUCUUGCCCUAUUAUUCUUGGUUGACCUUUCCUUAGAACGGUUGGUGCGAUUAUUGAUAUGAAGGAAGGGAAUAUUAGAUUUCAAUUUCCAUUAAAAAGGGCAUGGAACACUUUCCUAGAAAUAAAAAUAAGAUUUCCAUAUGAAACUAUCAUGAGAGCCACUUAUGUAUUUCCUACGAAAGAUGGCAAUACCUAGAUCUAUCCUCGCUUUUAUGCCUAGCUAGGGGCGUUAAACGAUAGCACUUGUUGGGAGGCAACCCAAUUUUAUUUUUAUUCCUUGCUUUUUGCUCCUGCUUAGUAAUAAAUAAUUAUUUAGCCUCUGUUUUGGUUGUGUUUUUUAUGUUUAAUUAGUGUUUUUGCCAAGUAGAACCGUUGGGAAGACUUGGGGAAAGUCUUGUUGAACUUGCUGUAAAAAACAGAAACUUUAGCGCUCACGAGAACUGCUGUCAUUUUUAUUUUAAGAGUGCUACUUAGUUAAUUAUUUUUGCAGAUGAUUAUUAGAUAAAUUACUCACGUCCAUCAAUUUAUUUUAGAAUUUUUGGGGUUCCAGAUCUUGCGCUAGCUAUAGAUUACUACAGACUGUUCUGUUUUUGACAGAUUCUGUUUUUCGUGUGUUGUUUGCUUAUUUUGAUGAAUCUAUGGCUAGUAAAAUAGUUUAUAAUCCAUAGAUAAGUUGGAAUACAGUAGGUUUAACACCAAUAUAAAUAAAUAAUGAGUUCAUUACAGUACCUUAAAGUGGUCUUUUGUUUUCUUUCGCUAACGAAGCUCAUGAGUUUUCUAUUUUGAGUUUUGUGUUGUGAAGUUUUCAAGUUUUGUGUGAUUUCUUUUGAUGGAUCAUGGAACAAGGAGUGGCAAGAGCCUACGCUUGGGGAUGACCAUGGCACCCCCAAGAUAAUCCAAGGACACCAAAAAGUCAAAGCUAGGGGAUGCCCCGGAAGGCAUCCCCUCUUUCGUCCACUUCCAUCGGUAAUUUACUUGGAGCUAUAUUUUUAUUCACCAACAUGAUAUGUGUUUUGCUUGGAGCGUCUUGUAUUAUUUGUGUCUUUGUGUCUUAGUAUGCCACAAUCAUCCUUGCUGUACACACCUUUUGAGAGAGCCAUACAUGAAUUAAAAUUUGAUAGAAUACUCUAUGUGCUUCACUUAUAUCUUUUGAGCUAAGUAGUUUUGCUCUAUGUGCUUCACUUAUAUCUUUUGAGCUAGAUAGUUUUGCUCUAUGUGCUUCACUUAUAUCUUUUGAGUGUUAUAAUUUUGCUCUAUGUGCUUCACUUAGAUCAUUUAGAGCACGGUGGUGGAUUUGUUUUAAAGAAACUAUUGAUCUCUCAUGCUUCACUUAAAUUAUUUUGAGAGUCUCUUAAUAGCAUGGUAAUUUGCUUAAUAAUAAUAUGCUUGGUAUUCAAGAUUUGUGAAACUUUCUUUUGAGUGUGUUGAAUACUAAGAAAAGAUUGAAGCAUGAUAAUUGUUUUGAGAUAUGGAGGUGAUAAUAUUAAAGUCAUGCUAGUUGAGUAGUUGUGAAUUUAAAGAAUACUUGUGUUAAGGUUUGUGAUUCCCGUAGCAUGCACGUAUGGUGAACCGUUAUGUAACGAAGUCAGAGCAUGAUUUAUUUAUUGAUUGUCUUCCUUAUGAGUGGCGGUCGGGGACGAGUGAUGGUCUUUUCCUACCAAUCUACCCCCCUAGGAGCAUGCGCACAAUACUUUGCUUUGAUAACUUCAAGAUUUUUGCAAUAAGUAUAUGAGUUCUUUAUGACUAAUGUUGAGUCCAUGGAUUAUACGCACUCUCACCCUUCCACCUUUGCUAGCCUCUCUAAUACAGCGCACCUUUCGCCGGUAUCAUACACCUACCAUAUACCUUCCUCAAAACAGCCACCAUACCUACCUAUUAUGGCAUUUCCAUAGCCAUUCCGAGAUAUAUUGCCAUGCAACUUUCCACCACCUAGUUCAUCAUGACACAUUCAUCAUUGUCAUAUUGCUUAGCAUGAUCAUGUAGUUGACAUAGUAUUUGUGGCAAAGCCACCGUUCAUAAUUUCUUCAUACAUGUCACUCUUGAUUAAUUGCAUAUCCCGGUACACCGCCGGAGGCAUCCAUAUAGAGUCAUACUUUGUUUUAGAAUCGAGUUGUAAUCAUUGAGUUGUAAAUAAAUAAAAGUGUGAUGAUCAUCAUUCAAUAGAGCAUUGUCCCAAUAAAAAAAGAGAAAGGCCAAAAAAAGAAGCCCCCCCCCAAAAAAAUAAAAAUAAAAAGGGUCAAUGCUACUAUCCUUUUACCACACUUGUGCUUCAAAGUAGCACCAUGAUAUAGCGAGUCUCAUAUAUUGUGCUUCAAAGUAGCACCAUGUUCUUCAUAUAGAGAGUCUCAUAUGUUGUCACUUUCAUAUACUAGUGGGAAUUUUACAUUAUAGAACUUGGCUUGUAUAUUCCAAUAAUGGGCUUCCUCAAAUUGCCUUAGGUCUUCGUGAGCAAGCAAGUUGGAUGCACACCCACUAGUUUCUUUUGUUGAGCUUUCAUACAUUUAUAGCUCUAGUGCAUCCGUUGCAUGGAAAUCCCUACUCACUCACAUUGAUAUCUAUUGAUGGGCAUCUCCAUAGCCCAUUGAUACGCCUAGUUGAUGUGAGACUAUCUUCCCCUCCUUUUUGUCUUCUCCACAACCACCAUUCUAUUCCACCUAUAGUGCUAUAUCCAUGGCUCACGCUCAUGUAUUGCGUGAAGAUUGAAAAAGUUUUGAAAAAGUUAGAAUAUGAAACAAUUGCUUGGCUUGUCAUCGGGGUUGUGCAUGAUUUGAAUACUUUGUGUGGUGAAGAUGGAGCAUAUCCAAACUAUAUGAUUUUGUAGGGAUAACUUUCUUUGGCCAUGUUAUUUUGAGAAGACAUAUUUGCUUUAUUAGUAUGCUUGAAGUAUUAUUAUUUUUAUGUCAAUAUAAACUUUUGUCUUGAAUCUUUCUAAUCUGAAUAUUCAUACCACAAUUAAGAAGAUUUGCAUUGAAAUUAUGCCAAGUAGCACUCCGCAUCAAAAAUUCUCUUUUUAUCAUUUACCUACUCGAGGACGAGCAGGAAUUAAGCUUGGGGAUGCCUGAUGCGUCUCCAACGUAUCUAUAAUUUUUGAUUGCUUCAUGCUAUAUUAUCUACUGUUUUGGACUAUAUUGGGCUUUAUUUCCCACUUUUAUAUUAUUUUUGGGACUAACCUAUUAACCGGAGGCCCAGCCCAGAAUUGCUGUUUUUUGCCUAUUUUAGUGUUUCAGAUAAACGGAAUAUCAAAUGGAGUCUAAACAGAAUAAAAUCUUCGGGAAUGUGAUUUUCUCACCGAACGUGAUCUAGGAGACUUGGACCCUGCUCCAAGGAACAAAAGAGGCGGUCACGAGGGUGGGGGGCGCCCCCCCUAGGGCGCGCCCCCUGCCUCGUGGGCCCCUCGUUGCUCCUCCGGCAUACUUCUUCCUCCUAUAUAUACACACGUACAACCAAACGAUCAGAACAGGAGCCAAAAACCUAAUUCCACCGCCGCAACUUUCUGUAUCCACGAGAUCCCAUCUUGGGGCCUGUUCCGAAGCUCUGCCGGAAGACGACCGUCAUCAUGGAGGGCUUCUAUAUCAUCCUAGCCCCUCCGAUGAAGUGUGAGUAGUUUACCUCAGACCUUUGGGUCCAUAGUUAGUAGCUAGAUGGCUUCUUCUCUCUCUUUGAAUCUCAAUACAAAGUUCUCCCCCUGUCUUGUGGAGAUCUAUUCGAUGUAAUCUUCUUUUUGCGGUGUGUUUGUUGAGACCGAUGAAUUGUGGGUUUAUGAUCAAGUCUAUCUAUGAAUAAUAUUUGAAUCUUCUCUGUCUUACGUAUGAUUGGUUAUCUUUGCAAGUCUCUUCGAAUUAUCCGUUUGGUUUGGCCAACUAGAUUGGUAGUUCUUGCCAUGGGAGAAGUGCUUAGCUUUGGGUUCGAUCUUGCGGUGUCCUUACCCAGUGACAGAAGGGGCAGCAAGGCACGUAUUGUAUCGUUGCCAUCGAGGAUAACAAGAUGGGUUUUAUUUCAUAUUGCAUGAAUUUAUCUCUCUACAUCAUGUCAUCUUGCUUAAGGCGUUGCUCUGUUUUUAACUUAAUACUCCAGGUGUAUGCUGGAUAGCGGUCGAUGAGUGGAGUAAUAGUAGUAGAUGCAGAAUCGUUUCGAUCUACUUGUCAUGGACGUGAUGCCUAUAUACAUGAUCAUGCCUAGAUAUUCUCAUAACUAUGCUCAAUUCUGUCAAUUGCUCAACAGUAAUUUGUUCACCCACCGUAGAAUACUUAUGCUCUCGAGAGAAACCACUAGUGAAACCUAUGGCCCCCGGGUCUAUUCUCAUCAUAUCAAUCUCCAUCACUUUAAUCUUGCUUUGCUUUUUUACUUUGCUUUUACUUUUUACUUUGCAUCUUUAUACCAAAAUACCAAAAAUAUUAUAUCUAUUAGAUCUCACUCUCGUAAGUGACCGUGACAGGAUUGACAACCCCUAAUCACGUUGUUUGCGAGUAGCUAUCGCUUUGUGCAGGUACGAGGGACUUGAGCGUGGGCUCCUACUGGAUUGAUACCUUGGUUAUCAAAAACUGAGGGAAAUGCUUACGCUACUCUGCUGCAUCAUCCCUUCCUCUUCAGCGAAAACCAACGCAAGCUCAAGACGUAGAACAUGUGUGAAUACAUAGACAAAUAGAGUGUCCCUAGUAUGCCUCUACUAGACUAGCUCAUUAAUCAAAGAUGGUUAAGUUUCCUGACCAUAGACAUGUGUUAUCAUUUGAUGAACGGGAUCACAUCAUUAGAGAAUGAUGUGAUGGACAAGACCCAUCCAUUAGCUUAGCAUUAUGAUCGUUUAGCUUAUUGCUAUUGCUUUCUUCAUGACUUAUACAUGUUCCUAUGACUAUGAGAUUAUGCAACUCCUGAAUAAAGGAGGAACACUUAGUGUGCUAUCAAACGUCACAACGUAACUGGGUGAUUAUAAAGAUGCUCUACAGGUGUCCCCGAUGGUGUUUGUUGAGUUGGCAUAGAUCGAGAUAGGAUUUGUCACUCCGUGUAUCGGAGAGGUAUCUCUGGGCCCUCUCGGUAAUGCACAUCACUAUGAGCCUUGCAAGCAAUGUGACUAAUGAGUUAACCACGGUAUAAUGCAUUACGGAACGAGUAAAGAGACUUGCUGGUAACGAGAUUGAAUUAGGUAUGAUGAUAACAACGAUCGAAUCUCGGGCAAGUAACAUACCGAUGACAAAGGGAACAAUGUAUUUUGUUAUGCGGUUUGAUCGAUAAAGAUCUUCGUAGAAUAUGUAGGAGCCAAUAUGAGCAUCUAGGUUCCGUUAUUGGUUAUUGACCGGAGAUGUGUCUUGGUCAUGUCUACAUAGUUCUCGAACCCAUAGGGUCCACACACUUAACGUUUGAUGACAAUCUGUAUUAUGAGCUAUGUGAUUUGAUGACUGAAGUUUUUUCGGAGUCCCGGAUGAGAUCACGGACAUGACAAGUAGUCUCAAAAUGGUUGAGACAUAAAUAUUCAUAUAUUGGAAGGUUACAUUCGGACACCGGAAUGGUUCGGGUCGUUUCGGAGUACCGGGGGUUAUUGGAACCCCCUCGGGAAGUUAUUGGGCCUCAUCGGCCUAGUGGUGGAGGAGAGAAGGCCGGCCAGGGAGUGGCGUGCGCCCCCCUAGCCUUUCUUUCUCUCCUCCUCGUCCUUCCCUCCUUCUCCUACUAGGCAUAGGAAAGAGGAGGGGAAUCCUACUUGGACUGGGGAGUCCUAGUAGGAUUCCCCACACCUAGCACGCCCCCUUUGGCCGGCCACCUCUUCCCUCCCCUCCUUUAUAUACGUGGCCAGGGAGCACCCCGUAGACAUACAAGUUGAUCUUUUAGCCGUGUGCAGUGCCUUCCUCCACAGUUACACACCUCGGUCAUAUCGUCGUAAUGCUUAGGCGAAGCCCUGCGCCGGUAACUUCAGCAUCACCGAUGCCACGCCGUCGUGCUGACGAAACUCUCCCUCGACCCUCUACGGGAUCAAGAGUUCGAGGGACGUCAUUGAGCUGAACGUGUGCUGAACUCGGAGGUGUCGUACGUUCGGUACUUGAUCAGUUGGAUCGCGAAGACGUUCGACUAAAUCAACUGCGUUAACAUAACGCUUCCGCUUUCGGUCUACGAGGGUACGUGGACACACUCUCCCUCUCUCAUUGCUAUGCAUCCCAUAGAUAGAUCUUGUGUGAUCGUAGGAAUUCUUUUAAAAUACUGCCUUCCCCAAUAGUGGCAUCCGAGCCAGGUCUAUGCGUAGAUGUUAUAUGCAGGAGUAGAACACAAAGAGUUGUGUGCGAUAAUAGUCAUACUGCUUACCAGCAACGUCUUACUUUGAUUCAGCGGUAUUGUUGGGUGAAGCGGCCCAGACCGACAUUACAUGACCGCAUUCAUGAGACUGGUUCUACCGAUGUGCUUCGGACACAGGUGGCUAGUGGGUGUCUGUUUAUCCAACUUUAGUUAAAUCGAGUUUGACUAUGCACGGUCCUUGUUGAAGGUUAAAACAGCACACUUGACGAAAAAUCGUUGUGGUUUUGAUGUGUAGGUAAGAACGGUUCUUGCUAAAGCCCGUAACAGCCACGUAAAACUUGCAACAACAAAGUAAAGGACGUCUAACUUGUUUUUGCAGGGCAUGUUGUGAUGUGAUAUGGUCAAGACGUGAUGAGAUAUAAAUUGUUGUAUGAGAUUAUCAUGUUUUGUUAAAGUUAUCGGCAACUGGCAAGCGCCUUAUGGUUGUCUCUUUAUUGCAUAAGAUGCAAGUGCCAUAUAAUUGCUUUACUUUAUCGCUAUGCAAUAGCAAUAGUUGCAAAAUCAAUAGUUGGCGAGACGACCAUGUGACGACACGUUGAUAAAGAUCAAGAUGAUGGAGAUCAUGGUGUCAUGCCAGUGACGAUGGAGAUCAUGACGGUACUUUUGAGAUGGAGAUUAAAGGCACAAGAUGAUGAUGGCCAUAUCAUGUCACAUAUUUUGAUUGCAUGUGAUGUUUAUAUUUUAUGCAUCUUAUUUUGCUUAGUACGACAGUAGCAUUAUGAGAUGAUCCCUUACUAAAAUUUCAAGGUAUAGGUGUUCUCCCUGAGUAUGCACCGUUGCGACAGUUCUUCAUGCUGAGACACCACGUGAUGAUCGGGUGUGAUAAGCUCUACGUUCACAUACAACGGGUGCAGGCCAGUUUUGCACAUGCAGAAUACUCGGGUUAAACUUGACAGCCUAGCAUAUGCAGAUAUGGCCUCGGAACACUGAGACCGAAAGGUCGAACAUGAAUCAUAUAGUAGAUAUGAUCAACAUAGUGAUGUUCACCAUUGAAAGCUACUCCAUCUCACAUGAUGAUCGUACAUCGUUUAGUUGAUAUGGAUCACGUGAUCAUUUAGAUGACUAGAGGGAUGUCUAUCUAAGUGGGAGUUCUUCAGUAAUAUGAUUAAUUGAACUUAAAUUUAUCAUGAACUUAGUCCUGAUAGUAUUUGCAUAUCUAUGUUGUAGAUCAAUUGCUCGCGUAUAGCUUCCCCGUUUUAUUUAUGACAUGUUCCUAGAGAAAACUAAGUUGAAAGUUGAUAGUAGCAAUGAUGCAGACUAGGUCCGUGAUCUGAGGAUUAUCCUCAUUGCUGCACAAAAGAAUUAUGUCCUUGAUGCACCGCUAGGUGACAGAACUAUUGCAGGAGCAAAUGUAGACGUUAUGAACGUUUGACAAGCUCGGUAUGAUGACUGCUUGAUAGUUUAGUGCACCAUGCUUUACGGCUUAUAUAACAUCCCAAAUUUUCAAUUUGGAAUGUUAUACACUAGAUCAUCAUUGCAUAUCAUAUUUAUUGCAUUUUGGUUGAUCCUAGAAAUUUUUCGCAACUCAAGGACCCUCGGAGAGAGUUGGGGAUUUCGUUAUUUUCAUAUUUGAGUUGUCUCAAAUUUUGAAAAUAGGAUCAUUUGAUUUUAUUUAUUUUAUCUUCAAUUAUUUCUAUUACAAAAAAUUAUGAGAGAGGGAAUAAAAUGACUUUCCCAAAAUAAAGAAAUAUUGAGGAUUUAAUAAAAAAAUCAUUUAAGAUUUUAUUUGGUUUUAUUUGCUAUUUUAUUUGAAUUUAGGAAAAUGCGCGUUUUUUAGAAUUGCAUUUAGGCCCCAAAUAAAUGUGCAUCCUGUGCGGCUUGAUUUUAGAAGCCGGGGAAAUUUUAUUUCGGAAUUUUUGGAGUCCGUUUAGUAGUCCUUUUCUUUUUUUUUCGAGCGUAAAUAUAUAAAAAUAAAAUAAUAAUAAAAACGUCCGAACCGACCUACGGGCCAUGCUAGGUCCGGACUCCUCCGGCCUCAGCCCUUAUAAACCGCCGACCCACCCCGGGCCGAAACCCUAGCCGCCGCCCGCCUCGAGCCCCGCGCCCGCGCCGCCGCCGCCCCGCCGGACCCCACCGCUGCCCCUCGCCGCCUUGCUGGAGCCGCCGCCGCCCGUCUCGCCGCCGAGUCACCGAGGUUGACCCGCCGGUUUUCAUUCGGUUUUUUGUUUCUGUUUUUUCUUUAGAUCUGUUUUUUUCUCGGUUUAGGCUAAUUAGCGAGCGUUCGCUCGUUCGUUCAUUUUAACGAACGCGUUCUUCGUUUAGAUCCAGUUAACGAACGUUCAUUCGUUAAAUUGUUCGUCAUUUUUCUUUUUCUCGGAUUAAAUCCGCGAUUUUUCAGAUCGCGAUUUCUGAUCCGAUUUUCGUUUUAGUCUAACUUUUCGCUCGUUUAUCGGAAUCAGGCGAUUCAAGCACCUGGAGUUUCGUCUCGAAACCCUCUUUCCGUUUAGCCAACCUAAACAAGUUUUUGCCACCGUAAAAAUUUCCUUAGAUCCAGAAUAGUAAACGAAGCCUUUUUUUGCCGUUUGUCUUCCGUUGCUUCGUUCGAUUUGAUUCUUUUUGCCAACCGGAGUUCUUAAGUUGAACUUUCUGGUUAGAUCUCUUAUUUGAGUUUUACCUGUGCAUUAGUUGAGUACUUAUUGUAUACUUGUUUGUUUGCGAUAGAGUACCCGGAGUGCGCCGCUUGCUACUUCGAAUCGCUAGGUUUCCCGGACCAUCAGCAAGGCAAGUAACACUUUGAUCAUGUUUUUCCCUCUACCCAGUUUUAUUGCAUUAGAUCAAUCCUUACACAUUGCAUGAUUAGGAUCUAAUUAAAUUGUGGGUUUGGGAAGUAGUUGAGGUAGUACCUAUUACCUGUUAUUAUCAAACUUUUGGGAGUUACUUCUACGUUUGCUUAUUAUGCCAUGCUAUGCUAGUAGACGUGGAUUGGGUGAGUGUAUCCAUGACAGAUGUGAGAUUGUUAAUUAAUGGUUUAUCUAAGGUGGCAACUUAAAUACACAUCUGGGUGGAUUGAGGCAUCUGGGUAUUCCAGCGAUUGCCUGUUUUUCUUUAUGGACCACCACCCAGGCUCAAAGGGAUCGUGAGAUUAUUCAUGCUAGAAACUUCCGUGUGCAGCCACAAGCUAUUAUGGGCUCUAGCAUAGUUGAAUAAGUUGUGUGAACUCUUACAGUGGUAGACUAGCAGAUGUAGGGGAUGUAGGUUGGUACGGUCUACCCGUUCGUAAGGUGCAAGCGCUUCUGAAAGACUAUGUCUCGGUCAUCCAUUUCUCAAACACCUUGUAGUGCGAGAAAUCCAACGGAGGAGAUCGAGUCUUGUGGGGAAAAGUGCGCAAACCUCUGCAGAGUAUAUAAACUAAUCAUGAUUAGCCGUGUCCCCGAUUAUGGACAUCUUGAGUAUCUAGUACCUGGAUUAUCAUGUGAAUCUCAACAUGUUACUCUAAAUUAAUUUUGGAUGGGUUUGUUUAAUGAUGAUGCUUAAUUGGGAUUGAGAAUGCUGUCAACCAUUCUCAAUGUUUAACAACCACCAUGAUAGUUAAAUAAAUUUAUUCCUUUGCAGUAGGAAAAAUUGGCUUUACGCAAAACUGUAACCAUAAGGCUUUCCACCAGCCAAAUAUGCAUAUAGAAUAGCUGUUUCAUUCCAUUACUCUCUAUGUGUUACUUUGCCAGCAUAUUCCAUGUGCUGACCCAUUUCGGGCUGCAACGUUAAUGUUGCAGACUUUUCAGACGACGAUUAAGGAGUUUUAGGUUGUGGUCCUAUACUUAGUGAUGCCGUUGGAGUUGAUGGACUCACUUAUCUUCCAAUCCUUCCGCUGUUAUCGUUAUUAGAUGGCCUUACGCCAUAUUUAUUGUAAUAAGUUCUCUUUUGAGACACUCGAUGUAAUAAGUGUGUGAGUGCUACUCUGUUAUAAAUCCUUCAAGUACUGUGUGGUGUCAGCAUUACUGAUCCAGGGAUGACACCUGAACACAGAGAUUGGACCGUUUGAGGUCUGGUCGCAACAGCUUACAACCGGGACUUCAAAAAAAAUUGAAACGCCAUGGAGCAUAUAAGAUGUUCCAAGAGUUGAAAUUGGUAUUUCAGAUUCAUGCCCGAGUCGAGAGGUAUGAGACCUCUGACAUGUAUUUUUGCCUACAAGAUGGAGGAGAAUAGCUCGACUAGUGAGCAUGUGCUUAGAAUGUCUGAGUACUAUAAUAGCUUGAAUCAAGUGGGAGUUAAUCUUCUAGAUAAGAUAGUGAUUGACAGAGUUCUCUAGUCACUAUCACCAAAGUUACUGGAACUUCAUGAUGAACUAUAAUAUGCAAGGGAUGACGAAAACGAUUCCCGAGCUCUUCGCGAUGCUGAAAUCGGCGAAGGUAGAAAUCAAGAAAAGCAUCAAGUGUUGAUGGUUGACAAGACCACUAGUUUCAAGUAAAAGGGUGAGGGAAAGAAAGUGAACUUCAAGAAGAAUGACAAGCAACUUGCCACUCCCAUGAAGAAGCCCAAAGCCAGACCCAAGCCUGAAACUGAGUGCUUCUACUGCAAAGGAAAUGGUCACUAGAAGCGGAACUACCCCAAAUACUUGGCGGAUAAUAAGGAUGGCAAAAGUGAACAAAAGUAUAUAUGAUAUACAUGUUAUUUAUGUGUACUUUACUAGUGUUCAUAGUAGCCCCUGGGUACUUGACACUGGUUCAGUUACUAUGAUUAGUAACUCGAAACAGGAGUUACAAAAUGAACAAAGACUAGUUGAGGGCGAGGUGACGAUGUGUGUUGGAAAUGAUUCCAAGGUUGAUAAGAUCACCAUCGCAUACUCCCUCUACCUUCGGGAUUAGUAUUGGAACUAAAUAAAUGUUAUUUGGUGUUUGCCUUGAGCAUAAAUAUGAUUGGAUCAUGUUUAUUGCGAUACGGUUAUUCAUUUAUGUCAGAGAAUAAUUAUUGUUCUAUUUACAUGAAUAGAACCUUCUAUGGUCUUACAUCCAGUGAAAAUGGUUUACUGAAUCUCGAUCACAGUGAUACACAUAAUAUUGAUGCCAAAAGAUGCAAAGUUAAUAAUGAUAGUGCAACUUAUUUGUGGUACUGCUGUUUAGGUCAUAUUGGUGUAAAGUGCAUGAAGAAACUCCAUGCUGAUGGGUGAUACGUCUCUGUCGUAUCUACUUUUCCAAACACUUUUGCCCUUAUUUUGUACUCUAACUUGUAUGAUUUGAAAGGAACUAACCCGGACUGACGUUGUUUUCAGCAGAAUUACCAUGAUGUUGUUUUAUGUGCAGAAAACAAAUAUUCUCGGAAUGACCUGAAACUCCACGGGAGGUCUUAGAAAAAAUAAUAAAAAAUCCUCGCCAAAUAUGAAGACCAGGGGGCCCACACCCUUCUCACGAGGGUGGGGCACGCCCCCUACCUCGUGGGCCCCCUGUUGACCCUCCGACGCCAACUCCAACUCUAUAUCUUUGCUUUCGGAGAGAAAAAAAUCAGAGAGAAGAAAUCAUCGCAUUUUACGAUACGAAGCCGCUGCAAAGCCCUAAAACCUCUCGGGAGGGCUGAUCUGGAGUUCGUUCGGGGCUCCGGAGAGGGGGAUUCCUCGCCGUCGUCAUCAUCAACCAUCCUCCAUCACCAAUUUCAUGAUGCUCACCGCCGUGCGUGAGUAAUUCCAUCGUAGGCUUGCUGGACGGUGAUGGGUUGGAUGAGAUUUAUCAUGUAAUCAAGUUAGUUUUGUUUAGGUUUGAUCCCUAGUAUCCAUUAUGUUCUGAGAUUGAUGUUGCUAUGACUUUGCUGUGCUUAAUGCUUGUCACUAGGGCCCGAGUGCCAUGAUUUCAGAUCUGAACCUAUUAUGUUUUCAUGAAUAUAUGUGAGUUCUUGCUCCUAUCUUGCAAGUCUAUAGUCACCUAUUAUGUGUUAUGAUCCGGCAACCCCGAAGUGACAAUAAUCGGGACCACUCGCGGUGAUGACCAUAGUUUGAGGAGUUCAUGUAUUCACUAUGUGCUAAUGCUUUGUUUCGGUUCUCUAUUAAAAGGAGGCCUUAAUAUCCCUUAGUUUCCAAUAGGACCCCGCUGCCACGGGAGGGUAGGACAAAAGAUGUCAUGCAAGUUCUCUUCCAUAAGCACGUAUGACUAUAUACGGAAUACAUGCCUACAUUACAUUGAUGAAUUGGAGCUAGUUCUGUGUCACCCUAUGUUAUGACUGUUACAUGAUGAACCACAUCUGGCAUAAUUAUCCAUCACUGAUCCGGUGCCUACGAGUUUUCCAUAUACUGGUUUACGCUUAUUUACUUUUCUGUAGCUACUGUUACAAUCACUACAAAAUACCAAAAACAUUACGUUUUCUAUCUUUACUUUUGUUGCCGCUACCACCACUAUCAUAUUACUUUGCUACUAAACACUUUGCUGCAGAUACUAAGUUUCCAGGUGUGGUUGAAUUGACAACUCAGCUGCUAAUACUUGAGAAUAUUCUUUGGCUCCCCUUGUGUCGAAUCAAUAAAUUUGGGUUGAAUACUCUACCCUUGAAAGCUGUUGCGAUCCCCUAUACUUGUGGGUUAUCAAUGGGCUUUUGGAAUCACUUGAUGCUUGUGAAUCAUCCCUCAUGGGCAACAUGACUAGAACUCCGUUCUCCGGAACAAUGGAGCGAGCCACUGACUUAUUAGAAAUAAUACAUACUAAUGUAUGAUGUCCGAUGAGUGUUGAGGCUCGCGGCGGGUAUCGUUAUUUUCUGACCUUCAUAGAUGAUUUAAGCAGAUAUGGGUAUAUCUACUUAAUGAAACACAAGUCUGAAACAUUUGAAAAGUUAAAAAAAAUCAGAGUGAAGCUGAGAAUCAUCGUAACAAGAAAAUAAAGUUUCUACGAUCUGAUCGCGGAAACAAAUAUUUGAGUUACGAGUUUGGCCAUCAUUUAAAACAAUGUGGAAUAGUUUCACAACUCAUGCCACCUCGAACACCACAGAGUAAUGGUGUGUCUGAAUGUCGUAACCGUACUUUAUUAGAUAUGGUGUGAUCUAUGAUGUCUCUUAACGAUUUACCACUAUCAUUUUGGGGUUAUGCAUUAGAGACAGCUGCAUUCAUGUUAAAUAGGGCACCGUCUAAAUCCGUUGAGACGACACCGUAUGAACUAUGGUUUGCCAAGAAACCUAAGUUGUCGUUUCUUAAAGUUUGGGAUUGUGAUGCUUAUGUAAAAAAACUUCAACUUGAUAAGCUCGAACCCAAAUUGGAGAAAUGCGUCUUCAUAGGAUACCCAAAGGAAACUGUUGGGUACACCUUCUAUCAUAGAUUCGAAGGCAAGAUAUUCAUUGCUAAUAAUGGAUCCUUUCCGGAGAAGGAGUUUCUCUCGAAAGAAGUAAGUGGGUGGAAAGUAGAACUUGAUGAGGUAAUUGUACCUGCUCCCGAAUUGGAAAGUAGUUCAUCACAGAAACCAGUUCCAGUUAUUCCUACACCAAUUAGUGAGGAAGCUAAUGAUGAUGAUCAUGAAACUUCAGAUCAAGUUACUACUGAACCUCAUAGGUCAACCAGAGUAUGGUCCGCACCAGAGUGGUACAGUAAUCCUUUCUAGAAGUCAUGUUACUAGACCAUGACGAACCUACGAACUAUGAGGAAGCAAUGAUGAGCCCAGAUUCCGCGAAAUGGCUUAAGGCCAUGAAAUCUGAGAUGGGAUCCAUGUAUGAGAAUGAAGUAUGGACUUUGAUUGACUUGCCCGAUGAUCGGCGAGCCAUUGAGAUUAAAUGGAUCUUCAAGAGGAAGACCGACGCUGAUAGUAGUGUUACUAUCUACAAAGCUCGAAUUGUCGCGAAAGGUUUUCGACAAGUUCAAGGUGUUGACUACGAUGAGAGUUUCUCACUCGUAUCUAUGUUUAAAGUCUGUCCGAAUCAUGUUAGCAAUUGCCACAUUUUAUGAAAUUUGGCAAAUGGAUGUCUGAUACAUCUCCAACGUAUCUAUAAUUUUUGAUUGUUCCAUGCUAUUAUAUUAUCUGUUUUGGAUGUUUAAUGGGCUUUACUAAGCACUUUUAUAUUAUUUUUGGGACUAACCUACUAACCAAAGGCCCAGUGCAAAUUGCUGUUUUUUGCCUAUUUCAGUGUUUUGCUGCAAAGGAAUAUGAAACGGAAUCCAAACGGAAUGAAACCUUCGUGAGAGUUAUUUUUGGAACAAACGUGAUCGAGGGGACUUGGGGUGGGCGUCAAGAAAGAAGCGAGAAGGCCACGAGGCAGGAGGGCGCGCUUGCCCCCUAGGCGCGCCCCACCCUCGUGGGCCCCUCAUAGCUCCACCGACCUAGUUCUUCCUCCUAUAUAUAUAUCCAUAUACCCUGAAAACAUCCAGGAGCACCACGAAACCCUAUUUCCACCGCCGCAACCUUCUGUACCCGUGAGAUCCCAUCUUGGGGCCUUUUCCGGAGCUCCGCCGGAGGGGGAAUUGAUCACGGAGGGCUUCUACAUCAACACCAUAGCCUCUUCGAUGAUGUGUGAGUAGUUUACCACAGACCUUCGGGUCCAUAGUUAUUAGCCAGAUGGCGUCUUCUCUCUCUCUUUGGAUCUCAAUACAAAGUUCUCCUCGAUUCUCUUGGAGAUCUAUUCGAUGUAAUUCUUUUUGUGGUGUGUUUGUCGAGAUCUGAUGAAUUGUGGGUUUAUGAUCAAGAUUAUCUAUGAACAAUAUUUGGUUCUUCUUUGAAUUCUUAUAUGUAUGAUUUAAUUAUCUUUGCAAGUCUCUUCGAAUUAUCAGUUUGGUUUGGCCUACUAGAUUGAUCUUUCUUGCAAUGGGAGAAGUGCUUAGCUUUGGGUUCAAUUUUGCGGUGUUCUUCCCCUGUGACAGCAGGGGCAGCAAGGCACGUAUUGUAUUGUGGCCAUCGGGGAUAAAAAGAUGGGGUUUAUAUCAUAUUGCUUGAGUUUAUCCCUCUACAUCAUGUCAUCUUGCCUAAUGCGUUACUCUGUUCUUAUGAACUUAAUACUCUAGAUGCAUGCUGGAUAGCGGUCGAUGUGUGGAGUAAUAGUAGUAGAUGAAGAAUCAUUUCAGUCUACUUGUGACAGACGUGAUGCCUAUAUACAUGAUCAUGCCUAGAUAUUCUCAUAACUAUGCACUUUUCUAUUAAUUGCUCGACAAUAAUUCAUUCACCCACCGUAAAUUAUGCUAUCUUGAGAGAAGCCACUAGUGAAACCUAUGGCCCCCGGGUCUAUCUUCCAUCAUAUUACUUUCCUAUGAAUUUACUAUUUCCGCUAUCUUUUAUUUUGCAAUCUUUAUUUUCCAUUCUACUCCCUCCAUUCCUUUAUGUAAGGUGUAUUAUUUUCGGCACGGUGACCAAGGCACAAAAUUGUAGACAUGUUAAGACCAAAUUACCCUUGGCAAAUUUGUUGGUUAGUGGCAAGUAAAUUAUUUAGUCUAGGAAAGUAAGAGAUACAUGCAAUCGACAAAGAGAUACUUUCCUUCUUUUGCUACAAGGAGAGAUACAGACAAUCAGGAAAUAGAUACUUUCCUUUUUUCUAGAGGGCUAGCAAGGGAAUUAUAAGGAAUUACAAGAAAUGUACCUUACAUUGUGAAAUUUUAUCAAAACACAAAUACACCAUAUAUAAAGGAAUGGAGGGAGUAUAUCAUAAAAAACCAAAAAUAUUUAUCUUAUUAUCUCUAUCAGAUCUCACUUUUUCAAGUGGUCGUGAAGGGAUGGACAACCCCUUUAUCGCGUUGGUUGCAAGGUUCUUAUUUGUUUGUGUAGGUACGAGGCGACUUGUGUGUGGUCUCUUACUGGAUUGAUACCUUGGUUCUCAAAAACUGAGGGAAAUACUUACGCUGCUUUGCUGCAUCACCCUUUCCUCUUCAAGGGAAAACCAACACAUGCUCAAGAGGUAGCAAUGUCAAAACUACAUUCCUUAAUGGAUCUCUUAAAGAAGAGUUGUAUAUGAUGCAACCAGAAGGUUUUGUCAAUCCAAAAGGUGCUAACAAAGUGUGUAAGCUCCAGUGAUCCAUUUAUGGACUGGUGCAAACAACUCGGAGUUGGAAUGUACGCUUUGAUAGUGUGAUCAAAGCAUAUGGGUUUAUACAGACUUUUGGAAAAGCCUGUAUUUACAAGAAAGUGAGUGGGAGCUCUAUAGCAUUUCUGAUAUUAUAUGUGGAUGACAUAUUGUUGAUUGGAAAUAAUACAGAAUUUGUAGAUAGCAUAAAAGGAUACUUGAAUCAGAAUUGUUCAAUAAAAGACCUCAGUGAAGCUACUUACAUAUUGGGCAUCAAGAUCCAUAAAGAUAGAUCAAGACACUUGAUAAGACUUUCGAUGAGUACAUACCUUGAUAAGAUUUUGAAGGAGUUCUAAAUGGAUCAGUCAAAGAAGGAGUUCUUGCCUGAGUUGUAAGGUGUAAAGUCGAGUAAAGACUCAAAACCCAACCACAACAGAAAAUAGAAAGAGGAUGAAAGUCAUUCCCUAUGCCUCAAUCAUAGGUUCUAUAAAGUAUGAUAUGCUGUAUACCAGACCUAUUGUUUACCUCACCAUGAGCUUGGCAAGAGGGUACAAUAGUGAUCCAGGAGUGGAUCACUGGAUAGCAGUCAAAACUAUCCCGAGUGGAAUAAGGAUAUGUUUCUCGGUUAUGGUGGUGACAAAGAGUUCGUCGUAAAGAGUUAUGUCGAUGCAAGCUUUAAACCGAUCUGGUUGACUCUGAGUCUCAAUCUGGAUACAUAUUAAAAGUGGGAGCAAUUAGCUAGAGUAGCUCCAUGCAGAGCAUUGUAGACAUAGAAAUUUGUAAAAUACAUACAGAUCUGAAUGUGGCAGACCCGUUGACUAAACUUCUCUCACAAGAAAAACAUGAUCACAUCUUAGUACUCUUUGGGUGUUAAUCACAUGGAGAUGUGAACUAGAUUAUUGACUCUAGUGCAAGUGGGAGACUGAAGAAAAUAUGCCCUAGAGGCAAUAAUAAAGUUGUUAUUUAUAUUUCCUUAUAUCAUGAUAAAUGUUUUUUAUUCAUGAUAGAAUAGUAUUAACCGGAAACUUAGUACAUGUGUGAAUACAUAGACAAACAGAGUGUCCCUAGUAUGCCUUUACUAGACUAGCUCAUUAAUCAAAGAUGGUUAAGUUACCUGACCAUAGACAUGUGUUGUCAUUUGAUGAACGGGAUCACAUCAUUAGAGAAUGAUGUGAUGGACAAGACCCAUCCGUUAGCUUAGCACUAUGAUUGUUUCGUUUAUUUGUAUUGCUUUCUUCAUGACUUAUACAUGUUCCUAUGACUAUGAGAUUAUGCAACCCCCGAAUACCGGAGGAACACUUAGUGUGCUAUCAAAUGUCACAACAUAACUGUGUGAUUAUAAAUAUGCUCUAGAGGUGUCCCCGACGGUGUUUGUUGAGUUGGCAUAGAUCGAGAUUAGGAUUUGUCACUCCGUGUAUCAGAGAGGUAUCUAGGCCCUCUUGGUAAUGCACAUCACUAUGAGCCUUGCAAGCAAUGUGUAUAAUGAGUUAAUCACGGGAUAAUGCAUUACGGAACGAGUAAAGAGACUUGCCGGUAACGAGAUUGAACUAGGUAUAAUGAUACCGAUGAUCGAAUCUCCGGCAAGUAACAUACCGAUGACAAAGGGAACAACGUAUGUUGUUAUGCAGUUUGACCGAUAAAGAUCUUCGUAGAAUAUGUAGGAGCCAAUAUGAGCAUCCAGGUUCUGCUAUUGGUUAUUGACCGGAGAUGUGUCUCGGUCAUGUCUACAUAGUUCUCGAACCCGUAGGGUCCGCACGCUUAACAUUCGAUGACGAUUUGUAUUGUGAGUUAUGUGAUUUGAUGAUCGAAGUUUGUUCGGAGUCCCAGAUGAGAUCACGGACAUGACGAGGAGUCUCGAAAUGGUCAAGACAUAAAGAUUCAUAUACUGAAAGGUUACAUUCGGACACCGGAAUGGUUCGGGUCGNNNNNNNNNNNNNNNNNNNNNNNNNNNNNNNNNNNNNNNNNNNNNNNNNNNNNNNNNNNNNNNNNNNNNNNNNNNNNNNNNNNNNNNNNNNNNNNNNNNNNNNNNNNNNNNNNNNNNNNNNNNNNNNNNNNNNNNNNNNNNNNNNNNNNNNNNNNNNNNNNNNNNNNNNNNNNNNNNNNNNNNNNNNNNNNNNNNNNNNNNNNNNNNNNNNNNNNNNNNNNNNNNNNNNNNNNNNNNNNNNNNNNNNNNNNNNNNNNNNNNNNNNNNNNNNNNNNNNNNNNNNNNNNNNNNNNNNNNNNNNNNNNNNNNNNNNNNNNNNNNNNNNNNNNNNNNNNNNNNNNUCCUUCCCUCGUUCUCCUACUAGGAAUAAGAAAGAGGAGGGGAAUCCUACUUGGACUAGGGAGUCCUAGUAGGAUUCCCCACACCUUGCGCGCCCCCCUUGGGCCGGCCACCUCUUCCCUCCCCUCCUUUAUAUACGUGGCCAGGGAGCACCCCAUAGACACACAAGUUGAUCUUUUAGCCGUGUGCGGUGCCCCCUCCGCAGUUACACACCUCAGUCAUAUCGUCGUAAUGCUUAGGCGAAGCCCUGUGCCGGUAACUUCAUCAUCACCGUCGCCACGCCGUCGUGCUGACGUAACUCUCCCUCGACCCUCUGCUGGAUCAAGAGUUCGAGGGAUGUCAUCGAGCUGAACGUGUGCUGAACUUGGAGGUGUCGUACGUUCGGUACUUGAUCGGUUGGAUCGCGAAGACGUUCAACUACAUCAACCGCGUUAACAUAACGCUUCCGCUUUCGGUCUACGAGGGUACGUGGACACACUCUCCCUCUCUCAUUGCUAUGCAUCUCCUAGAUAGAUCUUGCGUGAUCGUAGGAUUUUUUUUGAAAUACUGCGUUCCCCGACACCACAUUCUUGCCGGUGUAGAGCAUGCCGCUCCACAUUGGAGGCGGCUUUGGGUAGACGCGACCUCUCACUGCCUCUGCCAUUGAAGCGGCACACCGCACGCUUUACGCCCGCCUGAACACGCCUCCUCACUGCAUUCAAACGCCUUCAUUAAACUCCCAUGGAAGCCAAGGAACCAACUCCAGCCACAUGUCCGUUCACGAACGGGCCAACAUUAAACACAAUGCCGACCAAGCUCCUUGCGUCCAUCCUCUAUUUAAAUGAGGCCAGAUGCAGGGAAAGAAUCGCAGCACUCCGCCGCUCCCCAUCUCCUCCUUCCACCAAUUUCUCCACUCUUUUGAUGGCAUCCGACGAGCCGGGAGAGCAGUUCUCCUGCAUAAAAGCCGGCUGGGUGGCUCAACGAGCCUUCUGGAUAUGAGCGAGGCAGCUCGCUGCUCCUCCUACCUCACCUAGCCCGACGGAGCCAAUUGGCACCCCAAGCCGGUGCGUGGUUCAAUAACUCACCACUCAAAGCCAGCUCGCAGAGGAGUGGCGAGUUGCUCCAUCUCGGCAUGGUGGGGAUCGCACGGCAACACGAGCAUCGCCGCCUCCAGUGCCUGCGACCGCGCCAUCCGCUGUCGACGCAUGCGUAGCCGCGCCAUGCACACAGGAAAAGAAGCCGGCUACGCGGAUGUUGAUGAGGUGGCGGCCAUCACGUUCGCGCCCGCCUCCAUCAUCGGGAGAAGUAGAACACGGGAGGCCGCCGCGGCUUGUAUUCCAUGGAGGCCACCGCUGGCGUGUCUCGGCUUGUACAGCGGGUGACCUGUAAGCACCCGUCUGGGCUCCACGGAAGCACCUUUCCCUCCAACUGAAGCACUCUCUUUGCCACUCCGAUGAGCGGCGUACCCGGGCAUAGGGAAGAUACGGGAGAAGAAUAUGCCUUCGGGACUCCGGGUAGUCCGGUUAGCGGGCUACUGGACAUAGGGAAGACAAACUGAUCCGCCGCGUUCGGCCAAAGACUAGUCUAGUGUAUCCGCGUCGUGGGAGUGGAACUCCACGCGACUGUACGUGCACUAGUUAUAUCUUGUUAGUUAAAAUAUGUCCAAAAUGUAACCAUUUUCAUCAGGUUUGUAUGAAAUCCGUCAUGUAUAUAUGAAAUCCGUCUGAGUUCGCAUGAAUUUUAUCCGGUUUGUUAAAAAGAGUUUGAAAUAUAUGCUGCCAGCGUUGGAUGACGGCCUCCUGUAUUUAUUUCAGUGGACUGGUUCCUCCAUCCACGGAUAAAAUUUGUGGGUUGCCGUUGAAAAUGCCCUUAUUUGCGCAUGCGCAAGGGACACAUGGCGUACGAGGUAUUAUGAUCGCCUGGGGACUAGACUAUUAGAGCAACUCCAAAGGGCCGACCCAUUUCGUCCGCCUGCGUCCGUUUGGGUCGGCACGGACAAAAGUGGCGGCCCAAUGCGCCGACGCAUUUGCGGCCCAAAUUUGCACCCCAAAUGCGUCGGCGCGGACGCCGAACGGACGCUUCGCGCGCCUUCUCGCAGCCGCCGCGUCACCACAUGGCGGUCGUCCAACUACUCGCUGCCCACGCGGUCAGCUUAAUUUAUGACGAUGGGCCCACGCGUCAGCGACAGCGCUCGUCCUUUUUUAAGCCGACCAUGCGGCGGGGCCAUCCUCAUCCAAACUCGCCGUCCACAUCUGCCCACCUUUGCUCCCUCGUCGCCGCAAACCCUAGCCACCACAACCACAGCGAGAUGGGCCUCUUCUCCGGCGCCAGCGGCAGCAAGGCCAAGGGCAAGUCCCCCGCCACCCCUUUCCCCUCAGAGUUCCUCCCACCUCCGCCGGCGCCGGUGCCUCGUCGGCAGAGGCAGCGCGUGAACGUGCCAGUGCACCAGGCAGAGUGGCACUGGCAGCACCGCCAGCCUUUGCCGUAUCCGGACGUGAUGCUGUCGCACGACUGGCAUCUGGAUCCAGAUAGGAUCCCAGUGCCGGCGGCGCCGCGGACGGCUCGUGUUCACGCGGAGGAGGUGCGGCGCCUGCGGGCGCUGCUGACGCCGGAGCAGCGCCACGACCAGGCCUACGCAACCGACUCGCCCAACUGGGCGAGGUGGUUCGCCUUCGAGCACGAGGAGGCGAGGCGAUGGGGCGUGCGCGAGGUCGACCGGAGGUCGCCGCCACCGGGGCUCGUCGUCCGCGAGGAGGACCAGGCGGCGGAGGAUGCCUACAAGGCGGCCCUUGCGGCCGUCUACCGGGAGAGUGAGGAGGACGAGCGGCGCAGAGCGAAGGCGGCGAAGGCGUUACGAGGAGGCUCGGUUCGAGGCGGCAAUGGCGCAGGCUCUUGCCCUCUCCGCGGCGGGCGACAGCGUGGUGCCGCCGUUGGCCCCGCCGUCCCCCAUCAAGCCGGAGCCCGAGCCCAAGCCCAUCGCACGCUUCUCCUAGAGGGGAGUGGUGCGUGAGUGGGUGUCCGCGCCACCGGUUUGGCUGGGGACGACGCCGGCGCAGGAGCAGGCGUACCUCGAGAUGUGGCGCCUGCGCCGGUUGGCAGAGGAGCGCCGUCGCGGCGAGUACGAGGAGAUGCUCGAACGCGACCUCGAGGAGGAGCAGCGCGAGGCCGAGGAGGAGGCGCGCCAGGCCGCGGCUGCACAGGCAGCCGCACACCCCCGCCCCGGCACUGCCUGCGCCGGCACAGCCCGACAUGACGGCGCUCUGGAACACGACGUUCGCCUGGGCCAGGCCGGCGCCGACACUCAUCGACCUCACGGACCCCGAGGACGACGACGCCGCCGCCUAGGGCAGCGCGCCGCCUCGUAGUUUAGGCUGUUUUUAUUUAUUUUUAAAUGUAAAUGUGGACGCGUGGACUUUCGCCGGCCUUCAUGGCCGGCUUUAAUGUUUAAUUAAUGUUGUUUUUUAAUAUACAUACAUUCAUUUUUUUUGGCGCCGUCAAAAUGGGUCUCAGGCCAGCGUUGGGCGCACGCGCCAACCCAAAUGCGAAAGCGGGCAUCCUGUUCGUCUGGCCGAGCCAAACGAAGAAAAGCGGAUGAAAUCGCCGUCCAUUUGGAUCGGCCUGUUGGAGUCGCUCUUAAGCAGUAAAGAAAAGAUCACGGUCUCUGUCUCAUCUGUCACUCUGUCACUCUGUCACAUGUAUGCAUGCAUGUGCAUGUUCACACAGCUAGUCAGGUUAGGUAGGAAGUACUUCGCACCUGGAGAUGACAGCGGUUGGUACUUGCCAGUAGUUUGGAUUAUCCUUGAGCCGAUUCAAGUAUACGCGGACGACAAAUAUCCUGCUCUGAUGAUCGACAAGGCAAAUAUUCCGCUUUCUGCAUGCGACAAAAAGCUAGAGAAGUAGCGAGUGAAUAGUCACAUCACCUUCGGAAUUACUCGCUAAAGAAUAAUGAUAAAGGAGGCCAGCUGUCGAUCAGUAAUUCGACCCAGGAAGAACUUAUCCCUGUGCGCCCACAAUUUUUGGACUAUUAAAAUGUUGCAAAAUAAUUGUAAAAAAAAUUCAAAACAAACAUCAACCUGAAUACAUAGCUCAAGAAAUAAAAAUAAUAAUCAAUGUUGAUAGCCAUGUUAAUGAGCCGAAUUUGAACUAGCUACUUUAUUUUUUUGCGAGUAUAGCUAGGUUUGUCCUUUUUGUUUCUUGAGUUGUAUUUGAGUUUGGAUUGGAUUUUUUCUGACGAGCGAUAUUAUUUCAUUUAUGUAUUUGUACUAUAUUUGAAUUUCAAGACUUCUACGCUAAGGUUUCUGGAUUAGAGAAUACUGGCAAUACCUCACACAUGACUUUUAUGGUGAGAUUUUGCCUUUGAAGCUAUCGGUAUUUAUUUCGGAAAGAGUGUCGAUCAGUGAUAGGCACCUAGGAGUAUAGAAGUACCAAAUAGUGUAUGAUAUUUCAAUGGUAUAAGCUGGGUGGCAACUGUUUUUGCUAUUUCCAGGUCACCGUUGAGAACUGUUCAAUUAUACUAUAUAUACAAGUGUAGUUGGGAUGACACAAUAUUGAUCAUAUGGCUAGGAGCGGUUGAAAGAGAAAUAAUUAUUCUAAGUUGAGCAAACCACAUCAUUCCCUAAAAUAAUUGUUUAUCUAAAGCAAAAACUAAGUAUCACACUCUUUCUAAACUAUUUUUUUAUGUUUUUAAAAUAUAUGACAUUUUGGACAUUGCCGCAGUUUCCAAGGGGUAACUCUACAGUUAUGUUUACACGAAUGUGCCACUACAAUUUGUAAAAUUACAGAGUCAUGGAACCUGAUUUUUUUUGUUUAUUUGACGAAACUCGAUUUGAUGUUGAUAAUUAAAGUUUGAAAGUGUUGAUCCCAUCUGUUUUCUCAAAGUAAUCUAAUUUACAACAGAGGGACAGUUGUCUAGCUAUCUAGUAACUACUAGUAAUCCUUCACUGAACUAGGGAUUUAUUUAAUAAUUCCAAGAUGAGGUUCACUGUGUCAGUAUAUUCUGAACUAGCUUAUUAAUGGUUGUUUCCUUAUGGAAGUAACGGGAAGUUAGUGUUAACUGUUAUCUGACUCGGGACGGGAAGAAAUGAUCAAUUAGUUUGUUAAGUUGUGUGUACUGCUGUGUGUGGUAGAAUUAGUUUUCCAGUUCAAUAAGGUUCUCAAUAUCGUUUGCUUAGAGGAAUGGCUGGAAAUGAGCUCGACUUUAAAUUAAUAAAGCGAUAAUCGGCGACGUGUAUCACGUAGCAUGCUAGGGUUGCCAGCUAUCAUACAAGUGCUCUUUUUCUCCUCUCGCAAAGUUACAAAAGUAGGGAAGUCGAUACAAAUAGUGCAAUGCCAGUACCAAAGUAUAGCAUCACGAGAAUGAGACCAUUCAAACAGACUACAUGCAUAUAUACAAUUUCAAUUCAAGCACAGUGCAAAAAAUAGUAAAACUUGCAAAUGUAGUAUAUAGUAAUAAUGGAAAAUAGCAAAUCUUUUAUUUAGUCGGAGAUAGCGGUACAUCAUGAGCACUCUGGCAAUAACCAACUCAUCACAAACAUGUGACGAUUACGACAACACAUCAUGCACACACACACAACGAAAUCCUUACGCACGCAGGUAACAGUGCGUGCUUGUACGUACGUAGAACCUGGAGAAGUAGUACGUAGUUUCUCCGCAAUCGAAAUCCAGCCACACAUAAAAACCAGCAGAUGAUUAAGAAAUUAAAGCACACAACAAGUACGUAGUGGUACUUCAAAUAGCCAGUCAUGCAUGCAUGCGUGCGUGCAUGAGGUAUGGCGGAUGCAGGGUCCGGCCGGCUCAGUUGGGGCACUGGAAGCCGGAGGGGACGUUCUUGCCGCAGUUGUUGAGGACGAGGCUGAGGGCGAUGGGCAAGGUCAGGUUGAUGCCCAGAAGGUUGAGGUUCAGCGUCGUGCAGAGGCACAGCGCCGCCUCGAGGUCCGCCAGCCCCUGGAUCAGCGAGCAGCACGGCUGCACCGGCGGGCUCCCCAGGGUAAGGUUCAGCAGCCCGAGCACGUUCGCGCACACCCCCAGCUUCAGCGCGUCCAGAGGGCACUGGGUGCUGUUUCCGCCCCCACCGUUGCCGCCGCCACCAUUGCCACCGCCACCGUUUCCGCCGCCACCAUUCCCACCGCCACCGUUUCCGCCGCCACCGUUCCCNNNN
Molecule: long non-coding RNA, 61941 nt
Filed under: Triticum aestivum (bread wheat)
Lineage: Eukaryota; Viridiplantae; Streptophyta; Magnoliopsida; Poales; Poaceae
Description: long non-coding RNA (TAES_LNC021222)
Source: RNAcentral